This 79459-nucleotide long non-coding RNA is filed under the name Triticum aestivum (bread wheat). RNAcentral's name for it is "long non-coding RNA (TAES_LNC009298)". Lineage: Eukaryota; Viridiplantae; Streptophyta; Magnoliopsida; Poales; Poaceae. The record is from RNAcentral.
GUGUUUUUUUUGUGUGUGUGGGAGUCAUUGGGAUUUCAAUCAUAAUCGUGUCAUGUGGCUUUGGUGGUAAGACUAUCCACAGUGGUGCAGAAAUAAUGCAGCCUUAGUCACCUUACCUCUCUCCACGUAGUACGUUGGGUCCCACCAGUCAGAGGGUGAACCAGACAAAUUAAUAAGAAAAAUUAAAAGCGCCAGUGGUGUAUCUUACCUCACACAUCUCGCUACUGCUCGGGAACACUGUCCAAUUGAUCCCUCUGUUCACUCACGUACUAUUUUAAGUGAAUCCUUAUUAUAACAUGCACACAAACUUUGGGCACUUGUAUUCGAGUUAAGUCAGUGUGCCACCGUAUCUCGUAUACUUACUACUCCCUCCGUCUAGGCGUAAUAAGUCACGUUAGAAGGUGCAACGGGACCAAGGUGUGUGCGUGUGCGCGCGCGUGUGUGUGUGUGUGUGUGUUUAACAACAUGUGUGUGUUAGAGAGAGCGACAGAUCGACCUACUCCUACAGAGAGAUGUUGUGUAGUGUAUGAUUUUAGCCGCGAGAGUCGGUGCAUCCUCUCGUUUCCGGGCGUGUCUGGUAGGGACAUGCGGACAGCUGCCACGCCCGCUCCUGACCAGCCUGGCCCACCCAAAGCCCCUCCAGCGCCCGCGCGCGCUUCCCGCCCGAAACGGUCAGCGCGCCGCUCCAAAGAACCGGUGCCGCAUUCAUGCCCGGGCAGAGCGGACGCGACCUCUCACUGGCGCAAGAGUGAUGGUUGCUUCGUCCGUCCAACUUACUGCUGGGUCUAUGUGAUUUGACGGCUCAUUGGUCUUUAUUACUGAGGUGGUAGGACUGCUGGAUGUCCCACGCUUUCGGCGAAAGGAGGUACUACUACUAGAGUACAAUUUUCUCCAUUCUUACAGCAGAGGUGUGCAAGAGCAGUGAAAACACGCAGGCUCAGUGAUUACAUGGCCCACCUCACACUAUCACCGUGCGACACCUAAAUCUUUACAUAGUACUCCCUCUGUUCCUAAAUAUUACUAGAUGAGUCCCCGCGCGUUGUCGUGGAACAGCGGUAUAUCUCUCUGCGCAAAAUUAUCGAUUUCAUAGAACUAAAAAAAACUCUAUAACUGCAUGACAAAUGUGGUAGCCAAACUAAAUAAACUCCCAUCAUCAUUUAGAUCAUCCCACGUAAGGAAAAAAAUCGGCCAACUCCUACUGCAUAAUGGGAUUAUAUUUUUCUUUUUGACAUGUUAAUGGGACUUAAAAGCUCACUUACAUGCAUGCUACUUGUGCAUGCUUGCAUGCAGACAUGUUGAUGUGAUUUAAAACCCACUCACAUGCAUGUGCCACGGUAUUUCUGCAUGCUUGCAUGUGGCUUAGUGCGGAGCCUCUCAACGUCUAGAUCAGAUGGCUAUUAUGGACUUAUUUACUUCAUCUAACGGCUACAUCAAUUUUUAUGAUGUGGCUCAAAGAGAGGAUAGAGAAUUCCUAGUAGUGGGGGCUAGCUAUUACUAGUAGAUAAGUCUUUGUAGAGAUUCCACUACGUACGGAACAAAAUGAAUGAAUCUACACUUAAAAUGCAUCUAUAUACAUCCGCAUGUGGUUCAUGGUGAAAUCUCUACAAAGACUUAUAUUUAGGAACGGAGGAAGUACUAGUAUAGUACGUACUGUAAUUUAUCAGCGAGAUAAAUUUGUACAAUGCUAUGAAGCUUCCAGCUUCUGUUACAUGUAUCUUGCGUCCAAGGUUGCCCGUUGCAACAUUUCAUCAAAUACAAAGGAGACUAACAUGCAUGCUAUUGCAUCUCAAUGAUUGACAGAUCAUAGCAAAUAUGUACCCCCUCCAUUCCAAAAUAAGUGUCUCAACUUUGUGCAAACUUUAGUACAAAGUUGUACUACUACUAAAGUUGACACUUAUUUUAGAACAGAGGCAGCUAAAGAAAAGAUGAUCCAUGCAGUCCCUAGCCCUUGAACCGUGAACCCUGACCAGGCUUCAAUUUGCUGGCAACGUUCGAGCUUCCUAAUAAAUGAAGUUUGCAACCUUUUGACCAUCGGAUCAUUCUGUGCAGUUUCACCAAAAUCGAGAUGAGCAUCCCUGUGGCAAACAAAUUGAAGAAGCGUGAUUGGAAUAAGAUUACUGGGAGUAGUUGAUAAGACAUAAACUCAUCACAAAUACAGUACGUAGAAGCCAGUAGAGGUAUGUGCGGGGCAAAGGAGUAGAGAAAUAUCCACAGGGAGUGAUGUGGGCAGCUGGAGCAGUGGUGCAAGCCGGCUGUAACGGGAGUUGUACCUGAGGGACGUAGCUCAACCUUGAGGAGGGCGGCGGGAGGCAGCAACUGCCCACGUCGCGGCAGUGACCAAGGGACGAAGGCAACCUCAUCGGCUUUGUGAGAGAGAACGGCGGGGACCCCUGAUCGGGACGUGCCGACAGUGGGUUUUCGCCGUCGGCGACGACCACCGCAUCUACACUAAGCAUCCACCCCUUCCUCAAGCGGAAGUGAUCCGCUGGGAUGUUAGAGAUGUGGCCACAGUCGUUUUGUGUGAGAGAGUGUGAAGAGAGCAACCCCAGCAAGCAACCGUGUAGGCUGGCCCGUUCUGACUAUGUAUAUAGUGGAGCGGUUUCCCUUUCUCUCCAUAUGAACCUAUCAUAUUGCGUACGUGCCACUGAAGAAAAAAAACUUUAUUUAAAAAUGACGCGGCACCUACUACUCGUUCUCCUAUAACCUUGCGCUUGGCAUCUCCAAAAUAUUAACCUUGCGAUUGGCUCUUCGCCUCUUCGGGAAGUCGAGCAAUAAUGGUAGUGCAGUAUAUAUCGUUCUGGCUAUAUGAGACCGAAUGAAUUGCUGCACGUCCACCACGUGGGCGAGGGUCGAGGGGCGAGGGAGAGUGCUACAUACGGAGCAAAAUGAGUGAAUCUACACUCUAAAAUACGUCUAUAUACAUCAGUGUUUGGAGUAUGUACUAGUAGUUCAUAUUGAAAUCUACUAAAGGACAUACAUAUUCCAAACAAUAUGAUAUAAUCUCUAUAACCAAGGUAGUAGGGGCGAUUAGUAAACGGAGGGAGUAGUAAAUUUUUCUCCUCGUCCUGCGAGCCACCGCGCGCAUGGGCGAGGGAGCGGGCGUAAGGCGGAGCAAGCUUCACCUCAUCCUGCGAGCCACCGUGCCCGUAGGCGGGGGAGACGGCGUACUAAGCAAGCUUCUCCUCGUUCUGCGAGUUGACGGGACACCUACGUGGGUGUGUGUGAGAGAUNNNNNNNNNNNNNNNNNNNNNNNNNNNNNNNNNNNNNNNNNNNNNNNNNNNNNNNNNNNNNNNNNNNNNNNNNNNNNNNNNNNNNNNNNNNNNNNNNNNNNNNNNNNNNNNNNNNNNNNNNNNNNNNNNNNNNNNNNNNNNNNNNNNNNNNNNNNNNNNNNNNNNNNNNNNNNNNNNNNNNNNNNNNNNNNNNNNNNNNNNNNNNNNNNNNNNNNNNNNNNNNNNNNNNNNNNNNNNNNNNNNNNNNNNNNNNNNNNNNNNNNNNNNNNNNNNNNNNNNNNNNNNNNNNNNNNNNNNNNNNNNNNNNNNNNNNNNNNNNNNNNNNNNNNNNNNNNNNNNNNNNNNNNNNNNNNNNNNNNNNNNNNNNNNNNNNNNNNNNNNNNNNNNNNNNNNNNNNNNNNNNNNNNNNNNNNNNNNNNNNNNNNNNNNNNNNNNNNNNNNNNNNNNNNNNNNNNNNNNNNNNNNNNNNNNNNNNNNNNNNNNNNNNNNNNNNNNNNNNNNNNNNNNNNNNNNNNNNNNNNNNNNNNNNNNNNNNNNNNNNNNNNNNNNNNNNNNNNNNNNNNNNNNNNNNNNNNNNNNNNNNNNNNNNNNNNNNNNNNNNNNNNNNNNNNNNNNNNNNNNNNNNNNNNNNNNNNNNNNNNNNNNNNNNNNNNNNNNNNNNNNNNNNNNNNNNNNNNNNNNNNNNNNNNNNNNNNNNNNNNNCGACUGGCCUACCGGAAUGUUAGAGGGCACAUGUCAAGUUUGUGUGUGCCAGGGAGACAUGACUAGAGCGCUCGAUGUAUUGGUGUGUGUGGGGGGAGGGGUGGGGGGAGGGGUAGGAAGAGGCCUAACUAUAGAGGUAGAACGACUCGUAUAUGUGUUGAGAAGGAGAGACCCAGCUAUGUCUUGAGCGAGAUCGGUCGACAUCCAUACAUAACUGAAGGACGGGAAAUAUGAUGGGACAGAGAGAGAGGAGAGAGAGAGAGAGAGAGAGAGAGAGGGGGAGGGAGAGGGAGGGAGAGGGGUAGAGUGCUGGAUGGGUGAUGGAGUUGCUUCUCGAAGAUGGUGGGAGAGGCCUACUAGACAAACUGAGGGUGGAACUGGAAUGUUAUCAAUAAGAGUGGGGAUGUGUUUCUGUGUGUGCCUGUGCGUGAUAGAUCUGUCGGGACGCAUCCAUGGAUGAUGAAGGGGAACCAUGUGUUUGGUAAGCAAACCUAACUAGAUCGGUAGAUCAAUUGUUGUUUGUCGGAGGAAGGGAGAGACACAACUAAUGAGGUAGAUCGAUUGACGUGUGGGUAAAAACGAGUUAUAAGGACCUAGCUAGCUAUAUGUAUAGCGAGAGAUCGGUCGGUGUACGUCCAUUUGUUAGAGGCAAAUAAGGCCCAGCGAGACGGAUAGACUGAGAAAAUGGAGCUAGGAGGUGGUGCGAGAGGCCCAACUACUAGCUAGAUAGGGGGAGGAGUGUGCGGUUGUGAGAUCGAUGAAAAGAAGGGCGAGAGUUUACACGUGUGUCUGACCGUAUGAGAGACACGAGGCAAGGACACAUAAAGGAGGAGAUUGAAGGUGUGUGUGUAUGUUGUAGGCAGGCAUCGCUGGAGAGGUUUAUCGAUCGGUGUGUGUCGGAAAGGAGUUGUGGAGACUCUGGCAGAACGACCUAAAGAAAAAAUGAAUGAGCCCAGUGGAUAGAAUGCCGAGGGAGGGGGAGGGCGAGGAGGGCGUGUGCACGCACGAGAGAAAGUUAGUGGUAGCUACAAAGGUUAGAGUAUUGUGUGGGUGUAAGAGACUAACAAAGAUCAUAAUUUGAUAUGAAAGCGGAUUCAUACAUUUGAAUAGGAGAUCAUAGUGUUUUAAACAUUGCAUGCAUGAAUAUAGCGGUGAUACACGUGCUGUGCACAUGUUAUACCAUAAUGUGAUAAUGCAUGGCGUUUGCAACUCACAGCUAAAUGCCGAACAAUCUAAACCUUACUAUACAUCAAACAAUCUCAUAGUUUAUUUGAAUUUGUGAUAAUGUGUGGCGUUGCAGCUUACAACUAAAUAUCGAACAAUCUAAACAAUACUAUAUAUCGAACAUUCUCACAUUUUAUUUGAAUUUGUGGUAAUGUGUGGUGUUUCCAACUCACAUCUAAAUACUUGUAGGCGUAGGGGGCGGGGCACCAUACAUAAUGUGAUAAACACAUUAUACAUAUGAGACAUGGUUUAGAUUAUGAAGAUCUAGCUAGAGCUAGAAAUGUAAUGUGAUUUGAAAUCAAAAUAAAGUGGAUUCAAAAAAUCUAGUUCGAGUUCAUAUAGUACACAUAGUUCAUAUGUAACUCGAGACUAAUCAUGUGGUGUGCUACGAAGAUAAUACACAAACGAUGGUUUAACUUGACAAUAAUGAUGAUUGUAGAUCUUAUUAAAACAGAGAAACGAAUUCAAAUGCUUUGACUUCACAACAAUCAUUACUGUAGAUCUUAUUCAAAUAGAGAAACGAAUUCAAAUUAAGUUCAUAUUGAAGCGGUAGUAUAUACGUUUGGAAUGCGCUAAAACGUUCAUUUGAGUAGUAGGUUGCAUGCAUUAUACACGUAGCGUAAUAUUUUAAUUGAACAUAACAUGAAUUCAAAGUUUUGAAUGACAUUUGUAGUGCGCAUUGAUUUGGUGCAGUACACGUUAGGCUUGUCCGGAAAUUUCAACCCGCGCCUUGUUAGCCCGAAAUAUUUAAGAUAUAUCUUUGUCUCGUUGUGCCCCGACAACUCCCUCCAUCUCAACCAGCGCCUUGCUAUUCCGAAAUUACAAUGCGUGCGAAAACUCCCACCUCCUGUGAAAUCCCGAUACGCGAAAUGCCCGUGGUACCCCUGAACCGAAAGAACCGCCUCAAAUUGGUGGGGGUACUUUCGUAACUUACCCCGCAUUUCGGACAAGCGCGUCUCUAAGCCAUGGUUCCCCACUGCCAUCCCAUCCGCCCACCGAUUCAUACACCGAGGCCGCAAAAACCUGCGACGAAACCCCACACCCUGCUCCGUCCGCCAGCCAGCCGGAGCCUCUUCCCCGACGACGUCGUCCACAGCAACACCUCAAUGUCCCUCAUCCACCAUACCGGAUGAGGAUCCGUCGUCGAUCUCAUCGUCCCGCCGGUUCAGCCACCCCGUCCUCCACCUCCAAGGAGCUGCCCCGACGUUCCCCUCGUCUUUCACGCCACCUCCAUUCCCACACCACCGUCUUCACCUGCACCACCGGAAGAGCAUCAUCAUCACCGUUUCCUCGGAUGAAGCUGCGGCCUAAUCGGUGCCACCAACGAGGUUGUACACUAAUCGCCGCAUUUUCUUCUUGAUUCGAUCUCACGGUGCUGCCGGCGCUCGGUCCUGAGCCGACACGGCGCGGCUCCAUCCACGGCGGCUUCGCCGGCCACUUCCUCCACGGCGUCGCUCCCUCGGCGGCGAAGUCCACAUCAGUAGGAGCUGCUACUGCUUUAGCUCUCGCUCAUGCUGCUGCUCUGCUCUUGCUCUCGGUCCCCUGCCUGGUCUGCUCUUGCUAUUGCUCUUGCUCACGCUGCUGCUCUCGCUCUUGCUCUUGCUUGCGAUGCUGCUCUGAUUUAUCUACACUUCAGUCGACUGAAUCAACUUUUNNNNNNNNNNNNNNNNNNNNNNNNNNNNNNNNNNNNNNNNNNNNNNNNNNNNNNNNNNNNNNNNNNNNNNNNNNNNNNNNNNNNNNNNNNNNNNNNNNNNNNNNNNNNNNNNNNNNNNNNNNNNNNNNNNNNNNNNNNNNNNNNNNNNNNNNNNNNNNNNNNNNNNNNNNNNNNNNNNNNNNNNNNNNNNNNNNNNNNNNNNNNNNNNNNNNNNNNNNNNNNNNNNNNNNNNNNNNNNNNNNNNNNNNNNNNNNNNNNNNNNNNNNNNNNNNNNNNNNNNNNNNUUUCAGGGGGUGGGGGUGGGGGCUCGCCGGGGUGAAGGAAGAACCAACCGCAGCGGGGAGGGGGGCUCGCCGGAGAGGUACCCCACUAUCUACCUUAGGGUUCAGGAUGGGGGCGGUGGUCGCCGGCGGUGGCGGGGCGUUGGCGGGGCGGUAGCGUGGGGAUCGCCGGAGAAAAAGCUCGGCACGGGGGCCCUAGAGGGAUGGUCGGGGCGGCGGCGGACCGGCGGUGGGGAGUGUUUUCGGGGCGGGCGGGGUGGCGCACCGCCGGCCGCGGGCGGCGGUGUCUGCUGUUUGGCCGGUGGUGGCUGGCGGCUCAGUGGUGGUGGAGGUUGAAGAUGAACCGCAGUCCCUUGAUUUCGUAUCCAAUGGCUGCAAAAUCGACUAACCAGAGAUGAAAAAGUCAGUCGACCGACGUGUAGCCUCACCUUGCUAGUGCGUUCAGUUUCGACAGCAAAAUUCAGUUUCGACAGUUAAGUUCAGUUUCGACAGUUAAGUUCUGUUUCGACAGCUAAGUUCAGUUUCGACAGUUAAGUUCGGAGAUGAGCGGCUGAUGUAUUUUACAUCUAGCACUUUGUGGUUAUGUAUUUUACGUCAUGUAUUAGAGAUGCUAUUAGAAUUCCACUCAGGUUAACGUUGUUCGUUGUCUCUCUUGUCCUGCUUCAGCCUCGGCGUCGUACAACUCACCGGAGCUGCUCCAACAACGAAACCCUCCAUCACAGCGGAGUAGUACCUCGGGCUCCAUCUCCAGACGCCUAAGAUCUUCUUCCCCUCCUCCGACAGCAAAGUCAGCCGGAGCAUCCUCACCGGCCAACCCAAUCACGCUGAGAUCGACAUGGCUUCGCCAAAGAGGUUGUACACUUGUUGCAUCUCUUUUUUACUCUACAUGUUAUAUAUAUUGUCCACUGAGCACACGGAUUUGUUCCUUUGGUGUCUCCUUGAAAGAAAAAAUGUAGGAAUUUUAAUUUCACUUGUCCUCCUUUUCAAAUUCCUGUUCAUGAAGCAUAAGACUAAGAGAUAGUAGCAUAAUAGCACUAUAACCGUACAUUUUCUUGUGGUUUGACUUAAUCUCACCAUGCUUCUUUGCAUCCUGUGAUCUUCCAAUUGUUGUGAAUCAAACAGCUAGAUUGGCAGAAAUCCUGUGUUUUUAAAUUCUCUGUUUUGCACGUGCAUUCCUAUCCUAUUCCUGUCUAUUUCCUAUCCCUGCAUUGUUGGAAUCCUCCAAUUCAAACGAGCCCUUACAGAAUUACUUCUCUUACAGAUAGUUGUCAAAGAAAACCUUGCGUGGUUUGUCCCGCUCCUGCUACGCCGUCAUCCACCCCAGCUCAGCUGCUCCAACGACAGAAGGGUCUAGCACAGCAGGGAUCCGGCCUCCAUACUGUCUUUCGCCGCCUCAGAUCUUCUUCCCCGCCGCUGGCAGCCAUGAAAACUGCAUUACCAUCAUCAACCGAGCAGAUGACCUCGAGGACUACACGGGUCCGCAAGAGAGGUCGCACUCCUUACAUAAUCUCACUAUGUUUUAUUCCUAUGCAUGAUAGUUAUUGUAAACAAUGGAACUGAACAUGUAGAGCAAAAGAGACGAGCCUUGCGUGGCAAUAAAAUUUCAUGCAGAUGUCGCUCCAUGGUAGGCGCAAAGGCAGCCCCCCUCCACGCAUUUCGGAUUGUAAUCGAGAGGAAGAUAUUUGUUCUGAGGGGCAUUCAGAAGGACAAGACAACUCCUAUUUACCCCCUGAGGUCUUCGCUCUAACUUGGCAUGCUGAUGUUGGUUAUAUCAUGCAUAUGGUGUCUUACAUUGCUUACUUUAUACAUCAAAUAUGUCAUCUGCUUAGUUUGGACAUCCUUUGUGCGAAUGCCAUCUGUUUAGUUUAUUCAUCGUUUAUGUGAAUUAUGCAACGCCAUGUUGUUUAGCCAGGCAUCAUAUAUGUGAAUUUUGCAGUGCCAUCCUGCUUAGCCAGUCAUCUUAUAUGUAAAUUAUAUCAGGUCAUCCUUUUUUCGUUACAUAUUACAUUUGUCAACAAUGUUAGUACAUUCAACUGCUCUUCGUGUGCAUCAGCCAUUUGACAUGGUGAUGGCAAAUUCUGGAGUGAAAACAAGGUCUUCAGAGCAGACUAUGCUAUCUGACGAAGCGCAUAUCUCGCUAGUUACGGAUAGCUCCUCAGAGGAGGAUUCAGAGACAGAUGACCAGUCCUAUUUCCCCCCUCCCCCAAGGUGUAUGCUCUAACUUGGCAGGGUUAUGUUGCUCAUAUCGUGCGUAUGGUGUCUCGCAUUGCUAUGUCAUUUGAAUAGUUUAGACAUGCUUUGUGUGAAUGCUACCUAUUCAGUGUCUAAUUACCAUAUAUGUGGAUUAUGCAUUGCCAUCUUGUUGCAAGACAUUAUAUAUGUGAAUUAUACAAUGCUAUCUUGUUGCAAAGGCAUUAUAUAUGUGAAUUAUGCAAUGCCAUGCUGUUUAGGCAAUCAUCAUGUAUGUGAAUUAUAUCAUGCUAUCAUUUUUUGUAUUAUGUGUUCCAUUUGUCGACAACGUUUGUAUAUUCAACUACUCUUCCUGUGCAUCAGCCAUUUGAAGCGGUGAUGGAAGUAUGUGGAGUGAAAAUAAGGUAUUCGAAGCAGACAAUGCAACCUGCUGAAGCAGACAUCUUGCUGGUUACAGAGAGCUCCUCAGAGGAGGAUUCAGAGACUGAUGACCAGUCCUAUUUCCCCCCUGAGGUCUAUGCUUAAACUUGGCAGGGUUAUAUUACCCAUGUCAUGCAUGUUGUCUUGCAUUCCUUAGUUUUUACAUCAUAUAUGGAUUUCCAUCUGCUGACUUGCUUACUAUAUAAAUCAUAUAUUUGAAUUCUAUCAUGCCAUCAUGUUUACAUAGUAAAUACGCAUCAUCUAUCUGAAUUAUGGCAUGGCAACCCAUUUAAUAAAGACAUCAUAUAGUUAUAUCAUCUCAUCCUGUUUAGUGUUUACAGUCAUCAUAUUUUGAAUUAUGGCAUUCUAUCCGUGAAUGUAUGUGAAUUAUGGCAUGCCAAUCUAUUUAAUAAACACAUUAUAUAGUUAUGUCAUGUCAACCUGUUUACAUAGUCUCAUAUUUUGAACUAUGUCUUUCCAUCUUUUUUAGUUAGCCAUCAUAUAUGUGAUAUUGUGUCAUGCUAUCCUGUUUGGUUUGACAACAUAAAUAUGAAUUAUUUCAUGCCCUCUUUUAUUCCCCACUAUCCAUUGCACCUGUCUAUCAUACAAUGUCUAUACUUUCAAUUACUUUUCUUGUUUAUCAGCCAUUUGAAUUCGAGAGCGUGAUGGCAGUAUCUAAGGGAGUAACAACACGGUCUUCAGAAAAGAUAGUGCUACCAGUUGAUGCAGAUAGAACCACGGUUGUGCUUGCCCAAGGACCAGAUCCACCACACAUAACCCAGACUCUCGCAGAUUGUACCCCUACCCAGUUGGACAGAGAACCAGCUACACCCCUUCUAACCCCAACCCCGGCAGAUAGUAACCCAAUUCCAAUUGACACAUCACCGUCUCCACCACAGAGCACCCAAACACGAGCAGUUAGUAAGGGAACUGCAGUGCCCAAAGCACAAGGACCACCACUCCGAAUCCCAACUCAACGCUUACAGGAGAAGAAGAUUUGUUCUCAGGUCAGGUUCUGUAGCUAUGGUUCAUACUCCUUUGCUCUUGCAUUACUGUAUUUACUCAUACCAACUAUUUUCAAACUUGAAGGAUGGAAUUGAAACUCCAAUGGCGCAACAGGUAUGUUUUAAACCUGUUUCUUUAACUGGUUUGCUGUUGUAACCUGCUCUAUAUUGAUUUCAGUUUCAAUUGAAUAAACAGUUAUGUUCUCAUGUCAUGCACAUUACAAGUGUUGUUAUUGCUCUAUAGUUACCCACACUUAUAUUCUGUCUAUUCUGCUUUGUCUUGAACAAAUAUUAUUCGAAUUGUGUCUCUAUCUUGAUUUGGCAACAAAAACUAGAAUGAUAUAGACCAUAAAGUGACCAUGGUACAUAGAUAUAUGUUUGUUUCAUGCUGUUAUCCUGUCCAGUUUACUACUGAACUCAUUUACCAAAAUGAGUUUCACAUACAACAUAGUAAACAUGUGAUGUGUCUGCUUGUUUCUCUUUUAGAAUGCGGACAAAAUAUUGGAGAACAGUACCGCGUUAUCCAAUGGUAAAGGAAGUAAUGCAGAUAAGGUUCAAGAUAGUGAGACAUCCCUGUUAGUCUCCAAGAAAGCUGAUAAAAACUAUCUUGACGACAGUGAGGGAACCCAAAAGUCCUGUCUUGAUGUAGUGUUCGAAUUACUGGCCACUACUGCUGGCACAAGCUCUUCGAACUCGCUGCCUGAAUUAGUUCAUCUUCUUGAGUCUCAACUUCAAGUUGAAAGACAUCGAUCAGAUGUGCUUCGGCAGGAAGCUGAAGGACUGAGGAAGUCCCUGCAGAAUUCAGAUGCAUAUUUUCUGGUGCAACAGCAAGCGCUGGAGGAUUUAAGCGCCAAACAAGAGAAAGUUAAUAAGCCUUCUAAACAUCUUGCCAGCAUUAUGGGUACCCAGGAUAUUGUUUCUUGAGAUCUUCUGAAGUGGUUUCAGUUCUGGAUUUGUUUUGCUGCGGCGUUUAUUUGCGCUGGUCGCCAACUUUGACAGCCAGUGUAUAUGAUAUGCUGCUUUGUUCCUAUAUUUGCACUGGUGGCGAACUUUGAUGCCCAGUGGAUGUAAUAUGUGUAAUAGCCGUGAUAGCCUAGCGUUAGUUGCUUGAUUAUUUAUUUCCUUGUUGUCUUGUUUAUUUGUUUGCUUGUAGUCAUUGCAGUUCUUUUUCCGCGGUUAGCUAGUGGCUGCAAUAACCUAUUUUUUAAAACUAGGCCACAAUAACCAUGGGCUAAUAUUUACUGUAGUGACACUGGGCCUCCAACUAGCCGUAGAAAUAGUGGGCCUUCUACGGGCCGUAGAAACAAUGGGCGUUCUAUGGGCUAUAGAAACAAUGGGCCUUCUGCGGGCCGUAUCAUCAAUGGGCCUUAUACUGGCCGUAUGAUCGAUUGGCCAAACAUGGGCCAAACAGACCGCAUUAUGGCCGUAAACGGGCUAGAUUUGGAAUCGUCCGUUCAUGGGCCGACCAUAACGGGCCAUCGUUAAUAGUCUGUAUUUGGUGAUGCUAUGAAAAUGGCCCAACAGACUAACGGUCCACAAACGGGCCGACUGUAACGACGGGCUGAAUUUGGCCCACAAGCAGAAAAUGACAGUAACGGGUCGUAAGUAACCGAAUGCUGCAAAUGAGCCCAAGAAUAAAUGGGCCCUCAGAAGGCCGAAGGUAACUUGGGCAGGAAACGGCCCAACGGAAUAAUGGGCCGUCAAUGGGUAUAAAGUGAUACACUGUUCAUUACGGGCCAGUUUCACCACGGGCCGUUCAUGGGUGUAAAGUAAUACAUUGUUCAUUACGGGCCAGUUUCAGCACGGGCCGCUAAUGGGUCAAGAGUUACAAAGGGCCUCAUAUGGGCCGAAAGACAUCAUGGUCUAUACAUGGGCCAGAAGUGAAAACGGGCUGGAAUCAUAUUGGAUGGCCCAGAUGACGCUACUGGGCCUAAUUCGGAUAGGGCGUAACGGGCCUUGGGUUAGCGGGCUGUAAAUGGGCAAUAUGCGAACGUGCCGUUAACAGGCUUUCCAUGGGCCGGCCCGCUAGCUUUUGACCAAGUCAAACGGGCCGGCCUUUUCACAGGAAUGGGCCACUGUUGGGCCGUGCCACGUGUCGACGUAUCAUAGGCGCCUUCUGUCCACUGAGUGGAUGACAUCUGUCCCAACGAUGAGCCGACACGUGUUUCCUCUAGCCAAUGAUGAUUUCACACGUGGAAAAUCCCCAUUGGUCGGGGCUGUUAACGGGUUAUCGGAUCCAAAACCCGACCCAAUAGCUUAGAUGCCACGUGUCGGUCACCCUUGACGAAAGCACUUUUGUGACGCGCGAUUUAUCGUCAUGGAAGUGGACACUUCCGUGAUGAUAAUUUUGGUAAUGUCAUGGAACACUUCUACGACAGCACAUGUAUGACUAUCUUGAUUCUGUCAUAAAUUUGUCAUGGAUGUACAUGCAUGACAAAAAACGUGACCUACUGUGACAAACACGUAUCAUCACGGAAGUGUAUUUUUUUGUAGUGCAACUAGACGUAUCAACGGGCUAUGGAGAUGCCCAUCCAUAGAUAUCAAUGUGAAUGAGUAGGGAUUGCCAUGCAAUGGAUGCACUAGAGCUAUAAGUGUAUGAAAGCUCAACAAGAAACUAAGUGGGUGUGCAUCCAACUUGCUUGCUCACGAAGAUCUAGGGCAAUUUGAGGAAGCCCAUCAUUGGAAUAUACAAGCCAAGUUCUAUAAUGUAAAAUUCCCACUAGUAUAUGAAAGUGACAACAUAGAAGACUCUCUAUCAUGAAUAUCACGGUGCUACUUUGAAGCACAAAUGUGGUAAAAGGAUAGUAGCAUUGCCCCUUCUCUCUUUUUCUCUCAUUUUUUAUUUUUUUUAUUUGGGCCUUUUCUCUUUUUUAUGGCCUCUUUUUUUAGUCCGGAGUCUCAUCCUGACUUGUGGGGGAAUCAUAGUCUCCAUCAUCCUUUCCUCACUGGGACAAUGCUCUAAUAAUGAUGAUCAUCACACUUUUAUUUACUUACAACUCAUGAAUUACAACUCGAUACUUAGAACAAAAUAUGACUCUAUAUGAAUGCCUCCGGUGGUGUACCGGCAUGUGCAAUGAAUCAAGAGUGACAUGUAUAAAGAUAAUGAACGGUGGCUUUGCCACAAAUACGAUGUCAACUACAUGAUCAUUCAAAGCAAUAUUACAAUGAUGGAGCGUGUCAUAAUAAACGGAACGGUGGUAAGUUGCAUGGCAAUAUAUCUCGGAAUGGCUAUGGAAAUGCCAUGAUAGGUAGGCAUGGUGGCUGUUUUGAGGAAGGUAUAUGGUGGGUGUAUGAUACCGGCGAAAGGUGUGCGGUAUUAGAGAGGCUAGCAAUGGUGGAAGGGUGAGAGUGCGUAUAAUCCAUGGACUCAACAUUAGUCAUAAAGAACUCAUAUAAUUAUUGCAAAAAUCUAUUAGUUAUCGAAACAAAUUACUACACGCAUGAUCCUAGGGGGAUAGAUUGGUAGGAAAAGACCAUCGCUCGUCCCCGACCGCCACUCAUAAGGAAGACAAUCAAUAAAUAAAUCAUGUUCCGACUUCAUCACAUAACGGUUCACCAUACGUGCAUGCUACGGGAAUCACAAAAUUUACCACAAGUAUCUCUCAAAUACACAGCUACUCAACUAGCAUGACUCUAAUAUCACCAUCUUCAUAUCUCAAAACAAUCAUAAGGAAUCAAACUUCUCAUAGUAUUCAAUGCACUUUAUAUGAAAGUUUUUAUUAUAUCCCUCUUGGAUGCCCAUCAUAUUAGGACUAGUUUCAUAACCAAAGCAAAUCACCAUGCUGUUCUAAAGACUCUCAAAAUAAUAUAAGUGAAGCACGAGAGUUCCUCUAUUUCUUCAAAAUAAAACUACAGUCGUGCUCUAAAAGAUAUAAGUGAAGCACUAGAGCAAACGACAAACUACUCCGAAAGAUAUAAGUGAAGAUCAAUGAGUAGUCGAAUAAUUGUGCAACUAUGUGAAGACUCUCUAACAUUUAAGAAUUUCAGAUCUUGGUAUUUUAUUCAAACAGCAAGCAAAACAAAAGAAAAUAAAAUGACGCUCCAGGCAAAACACAUAUCAUGUGGUGAAUAAAAAUAUAGCUCCAAGUAAAGUUACCGAUGAACGAAGACGAAAGAGGGGAUGCCAUCCGGGGCAUCCCCAAGCUUAGGCUCUUGGUUGUCAUUGAAUAUUAACUUGGGGUGCCUUGGGCAUCCCCAAGCUUAGGCUCUUGCCACUCCUUAUUCCAUAGUCCAUCGAAUCUUUACCCAAAACUUGAAAACUUCACAACACAAAACUUAACAGAAGAUCUCGUGAGCUCCGUUAGCGAAAGAAAACAAAACACCACUUCAAGGUACUGUAAUGAACUCAUUAUUUAUUUGUAUUGGUUUUAAAUCUACUGUAUUCCAACUUCUUUAUGGUUUAUAAACUAUUUUACUAGCCAUAGAUUCAUCAAAAUAAGCAAACAACGCCCGAAAAACAGAAUCUGUCAAAAACAGAACAAUCUGUAGUAAUCUGUACCAAACGCAAACUUCUGGAACUCAAAAAAUUCUACCAAAAUAGGACGACCUAGAUAAUUUGAUUAUUGAUCUUCUGCAAUUGGAAUCCGUAUUUUAUCUCUUUCUGGUGAUUUUAAACAAUUCUUUCCGUGAACAGAAAGUUUCUGGAAUUUUCAGCAAGAUCAAAUAACUAUCAUCCAAGAAGAUCCUAUAUGUCUUAAUUGGCACAAACAAUAAUUAAAACAUAAAACCACAUCUAACCAGAGGCUAGAUCAAAUAUGUAUUACUAAACAUAACCAAAAAGAAAGAACAAAAAUAAAAAUUGGGUGCCUCCCAACAAGCGCUAACGUUUAACGCCCCUAGCUAGGCAUGAUGAUUUCAAUGAUGCUCGCGUAAAAGAUAAGAAUUGAAACAUAAAGAGAGCAUCAUGAAGAAUAUGACUAGCACAUUUAAGUCUAACCCACUUCCUAUGCAUAGGUAUUUGUGAGAAAACAACUUAUGGGAACAAUAAUCAACUAGCAUAGGAAGGCAAAACAAGCAUAACUUCAAAACUUUAAGCACAUAGAGAGGAAACUUGAUAUUAUUGCAAUUCCUACAAGCAUACAUUCCUCCCUCAUAAUAAUUUUCAGUAGCAUCAUGAAUGAAUUCAACAAUAUAACCAGCACCUAAAGCAUUCUUUUCAUGAUCUACUUGCAUAGAAAUUUUACUACUCUCCACAUAAGCAAAAUUCUUCUCUUUCGGAAUAGUGGGAGUAUCAUACGAGACUCGAAUACUAUAAAUUAUUUCCACGUUAAAAGAGUAAUGUUCAGAAAAAGGGUAAUCAUAAUCAUGACAAGUUUUAUAAAUAUAAUCAUCACUACUUUUUAUAGCAUAAGUGUCAUCACAAUAAUCAUCAUAAAUAGGAGGCAUGCUAUCAUCAUAAUAAAUUUGCUCAUCAAAACUUGGGAGGCUAAAAAUAUCAUCUUCAUUAAAAAUAGCAUCCCCAAGCUUGGGACAAACAUUAAUUGCAGCAAAUAUAUUCUCAAACAUGUCAUUCUCAUCAAACAUAGCAUCCCCAAGCUUGGGCAUUUUCAUAUCAUAAGCAUAAUCACUCUCAUCAUUAAUAGUAUGGAUAGCACCAAUAGUAUAGUAAUUAUCAUCGCAAUGAGUAAUAGGAGCAACAUCAUUUGGGAGGGAUACCUUUCUACCUUUACUUAUCCGUCUUUUCUUUUUCUUCUUCACAUCAUGUGUGGGCUCAAUCCUCUUUUUGGAGCUCCUUAUUAAUGAGAUUGGUUGAAUAGAAGGCUCCACCUCAUUACCUGAUUCAUCAUAAGAAAUAAUAGGAGAAUAUUGGGAAGUCUCUUCCCUUUCGUUAGUAUUCUCUUCAUCUUCUAUUUGUUUUGUUUUCUUUAUGUAAUUGGCAAUAUAAGGAUUUUCGAUGCAAUUCACCGCACAAAACAUAUAAAUUUCCUCUCGAUCAAAAUUAAGAACUCUAUCAAGAGAAAAUUCUGGAAUAACCUUAGUUAUAUGUUUCAUUUCUUCAUAACCCAAGAGCAAACUAAGUUCAUUAUGAUGUGCAAGGGAAAUCAAGUCAUCACAAUUUUUGGACAUGAUACGAUCAUGAAACAAUUUGCAUUGCGUACUGAAAUGAUCACGUUCAUUGCAAAGUUCACAAGUACGGCUAAGAAAGUUUAAAUUUUCAGCACAAACAUCUAGCCUCUCUUGCAACCAUUUAGUUUCUAAGUACUUGUCCCUCUUACAAAAUCUAUAUUCCCUUUUUGGUAUGUAUUUGCAAACUCUAUGCACUCCACAGAAAUCGACAUGCUUAUAGGAAACAUUUUCAUCAUGAAUAGUGCAAUCAUCAUUAGUACCAUGGAUAUUCAAAGAGUUCAUACUAACAAUAUUGCAAUCAUGCUCAUCAUUCAAAGAUUCAGUGCCAAACAUUUUAUAGACUUCUUCUUCUAGAACUUGAGCACAAUUUCCCUUUCCAUCAUUCUCACGAAAGAUAUUAAAAAGAUGAAGCGUAUGAGACAAACUCAAUUCCAUUUUUUUGUGGUUUUCUUUUAUAAACUAAACUUGUGAUAAAACAAGAAGCUAAAAGAUUCAAUUGCAAGAUCUAAAGAUAUACCUUCAGGCACUCACCUCCCCGGCAAUGGCUAGUAGACGUUGUUGGGCCUCCAAGUGCAGAGGUUUGUAGGACAAUAGCAAAUUUCCCUCAAGUGGAUGACCUAAGGUUUAUCAAUCCAUGGGAGGCGUAGGAUGAGGAUGGUCUCUCUCAAACAACCCUGCAACCAAAUAACAAAGAGUCUCUUGUGUCCCCAACACACCCAAUACAAUGGUAAAUUGUAUAGGUGCACUAGUUCAGUGAAGAGAUGGUGAUACAAGUGCAAUAUGGAUGGUAGAUAUAGGUUUUUGUAAUCUGAAAAUAUAAAAACAGCAAGGUAACUAAUAAUAAAAGUGAGCGUAAACGGUAUUGCAAUGCUAGGAAACAAGGCCUAGGGUUCAUACUUUCACUAGUGCAAGUUCUCUCAACAAUAAUAACAUAAUUGGAUCAUAUAACUAUCCCUCAACAUGCAAAAAAGAGUCACUCCAAAGUCACUAACAGCGGAGAACAAACGAAGAGAUUAUGGUAGGGUACGAAACCACCUCAAAGUUAUUCUUUCGGAUCGAUCUAUUCAAGAGUCCGUAGUAAAAUAACACGAAGCUAUUCUUUCCGUUCGAUCUAUCAUAGAGUUCGUACUAGAAUAACACCUUAAGACACAAAUCAACCAAAACCCUGAUGUCACCUAGAUACUCCAAUGUCACCUCAAGUAUCCGUGGGUAUGAUUAUACGAUAUGUAUCACACAAUCUCAGAUUCAUCUAUUUCAACCAACACAGAGAACUUCAAAGAGUGCCCCAAAGUUUCUACCAGAGAGUCAAGACGAAAACGUGUGCCAACCCCUAUGCAUAAGUUCACGAGGUCACGGAACCCACAAGUUGAUCACCAAAACAUACAUCAAGUGAAUCACGUGAUAUCCCAUUGUCACCACAGAUAAGCACAUGCAAGACAUACAUCAAGUGUUCUCAAAUCCUUAAAGACUCAAUUCGAUAAGAUAACUUCAAAGGGAAAACUCAAUCCAUCACAAGAGAGUAGAGGGGGAGAAACAUAAUAGGAUCCAACUACAAUAGCAAAGCUCACGAUACAUCAAGACUGUGCCACCUCAAGAACAUGAGAGAGAGAGAGAGAGAUCAAACGCAUAGCUACUGGUACAUACCCUCAGCCUCGAGGGUGAACUACUCCCUCCUUGUCAAGGAGAUCGCCGGGAUGAUAAAGAUGGCCACCGGUGAUGGAUCCCCCAUCCGGCAGAGUGCGGAACAGGGUCCCGAUUGGUUUUUGGUGGCUACAGAGGCUUGCGGCGGCGGAACUCCCGAUCUAUUCUGUUCUCCGAUGUUUUUAGGGUAUAUGGACAUAUAUAGGCGAAAGAAGUCGGUCAGGGGAGCCACGAGGGGCCCAUGAGGGUGGGGGCGCGCCCAGGGGCAGGCGCGCCUCCCUGCCUCGUGGCCACCUUGUUGCUUCCCUGACGUACACUCCAAGUCUCCUGGAUUGCUUCCGUUCCAAAAAGAACUCUCUCGAAGGUUUCAUUCCGUUUGGACUCCGUUUGAUAUUCCUUUUCUUCGAAACACUAAAAUAGGCAAGAAAACAACAAUUUGGGCUGGGCCUCCGGUUAAUAGGUUAGUCCCAAAAAUAAUAUAAAAGUGUUUAGUAAAGCCCAUAAAAUAUCCAAAACAGAUAAUAUAAUAGCAUGGAACAAUAAAAAAAUUAUAGAUACGUUGGAGACGUAUCAAUUCCCAAGGUGACAUUGGGGUAAUCUAUGCAUAGGGGUUGAUGCACGUUCUUGUCUUUGUUUCUCCGGUAGAAAUCUUGGGGCACUCUUUGAAGUUCUUUGUGUUGGACUGAGUAUUAUGAAUAUGGAUUUGCUUUGGUGUUAUUUUCGUACGAACUCUAGGAUAGAUCGAACGGAAAGAAUAGCUUUGUGUUAUUUUAGUACGAACUCUUGAGUAGAUCGAACGGAAAGAAUAGCUUUGAGGUGGUUUUGUGCCCUACAAACAAUUUAUUCUUAUGCUCUCCGCUAGAUAGGAACUUUGGAGUGAUUCUCCGUCGCACUUUGAGGGGUGGUUAUAUGAUCCAAUUAUAAUAGCAUUGUCGAGAUAUUGCACUAGCGAAAGUACGGACCCUAGGCCUCAUUUUCAAGCAUUGCAAUACCGUUUUUGUGCCUGUUUACUAUUUGCUACCUUGCUGUUUUUAUUUAUUCAGACUAUAAAAAUAUAUUUCUACCAUCCAUAUUACACUUUUAUCACCAUCUCUUCACCGAACUAGUGCACCUAUACAAUUUGCCAUUGUAUUGGGUGUGUUGGGGACACAAGAGAUUUCCUGUAUUUGGUUGCAGGGUCAUUUGAGAGAGACCAUCUUCAUCCUACACCUCUCAUGGAUUGAUAAACCUUAGAUCAUCCACUUGAGCGAAAAUUGCUACUGUCCUACAAAACUCUGCGCUUGGAGGCCCAACACGUGUCUACAAGAAUAAAGUUGCGUAGUAGACAUCAAGCUCUUUUCUGGCGCCGUUACCGGGGAGGUUAGUGCUUGAAGGUAUAUCUUUAGAUAUUGCAAUUGAAUCUUUUAGUUUCUUGUUUUAUCACUAGUGUGACGCCCGGAUAAUCAAGCUACAGUAAAACUCUGCUAAUGAUGCCACGUCACCUCCGUUACUGUUUCGAAUCCUUCGUUAGUUCAAAACCAGAUUCAAAAAUCAAUUCAAAAUAUGGCAAACAACAAAAGUUUUCAAACUUUGAAACAAAAAUGUUUGGAGUGAACCAAAUAUUGCACAGAUAAUUAUGGUGGAGAAACCACACCUUUAUAAAAUGUUUAAAUACUAUGAGAUGAAUAAAACAGUAGCAAAAACAAUUAUAUAAGUGUUUUUAAAUAUAAACAAAUAUUAAACUAGUUUAUUUAGUCACUAAAAACUUUUUACAACUCCGAUUUAGGUGUGGGCUUUAACUUAUUAUAAAACUAUAACUAUUAAAGAAAUAAAAUAAAACAGUAAAGGAAAAUAAAUAAAAGAAAACACAAACAAAAACAAAACAACUGCCCCCCCCCUGCUGGGCCAAGUGGCCCAGCUGGCCUCAGCCGCCCGAACGGGCCGGCCCACCCCGGUCCACCUCCCCUACUAACCCCCCGCUACCCCGUAACCCUAACCCCCACCAGUCGCCCCCGAUCCCCACUCCCUCGUCUCCCNNNNNNNNNNNNNNNNNNNNNNNNNNNNNNNNNNNNNNNNNNNNNNNNNNNNNNNNNNNNNNNNNNNNNNNNNNNNNNNNNNNNNNNNNNNNNNNNNNNNNNNNNNNNNNNNNNNNNNNNNNNNNNNNNNNNNNNNNNNNNNNNNNNNNNNNNNNNNNNNNNNNNNNNNNNNNNNNNNNNNNNNNNNNNNNNNNNNNNNNNNNNNNNNNNNNNNNNNNNNNNNNNNNNNNNNNNNNNNNNNNNNNNNNNNNNNNNNNNNNNNNNNNNNNNNNNNNNNNNNNNNNNNNNNNNNNNNNNNNNNNNNNNNNNNNNNNNNNNNNNNNNNNNNNNNNNNNNNNNNNNNNNNNNNNNNNNNNNNNNNNNNNNNNNNNNNNNNNNNNNNNNNNNNNNNNNNNNNNNNNNNNNNNNNNNNNNNNNNNNNNNNNNNNNNNNNNNNNNNNNNNNNNNNNNNNNNNNNNNNNNNNNNNNNNNNNNNNNNNNNNNNNNNNNNNNNNNNNNNNNNNNNNNNNNNNNNNNNNNNNNNNNNNNNNNNNNNNNNNNNNNNNNNNNNNNNNNNNNNNNNNNNNNNNNNNNNNNNNNNNNNNNNNNNNNNNNNNNNNNNNNNNNNNNNNNNNNNNNNNNNNNNNNNNNNNNNNNNNNNNNNNNNNNNNNNNNNNNNNNNNNNNNNNNNNNNNNNNNNNNNNNNNNNNNNNNNNNNNNNNNNNNNNNNNNNNNNNNNNNNNNNNNNNNNNNNNCCCCUGGCUGCGUCUAGCGCUCCGUGCCCGGCGCCCGUCCGCGCGGUCCCACUCCGGCACCACCUCCUGCUGCCGUCACGACCACCCCCUCGCCGUGCCGCCCCGGCGCCAUGCCGUCGCCGUUGCCCCUUUGGCAGUUGAGGCGUGCGCCCGAACGAACGGGUGCUGGGCACCCGUUGCGCCCAUUCGCCCAGUGCCCGCUGCACCCCCCUGAGCCACUGACACGAGGACCCCACCCCAGAACGUAAAAAAAAAGAAGAAAAAAAAAGAAAAAAAAGAAGAAUAAAAAAAAUAAAUAAUAAUAAUAUAUUAAAAACAAUUAAUUAAUUAAAGAAUUAAUUAACCUAAUUAAUUUUUGAUUAAUUAAACUAAUCUAAUAACUAAACUAAUUAAACUAUUAGUUAAUUAAUUAAUCAGUCAAUGACAGCUGGGUCCCGCACAUCAGUUUGACCCAGUCAACGCCCUGUUGACUGCUGACGUCAUGAUGACGUCAGCAGGCCCUAUUCUGGAUAAUGUUGAAUUAAAUAAAUUAAAUAAAUUCUAAAAUGAUUUAAAACUUUGAAAAUUCAUAUCUUUUAAACCAUAACUCGGAUGAAAAUGUUUUCUAUAUGAAAGUUGCUCAGAACGACGAGACGAAUCCAAAUACGCAGUCCGUUCGUCCACCACACCUCCCUAACCUAUCGAACUCGCAACUUUCCCCCUCCGGUCCGUCUGUUCGAAAACGCGAAACAUCGGGAAGACUUUCCCGGAUGUUUCCCCCCUUCACCGGUAUCACCUCAUACCGCGUUAGAACACGUCUAGCUCUGCCUGUUGUCUUGUUAUGCACUUGCUUGCUAUGUAUUUACUGUUUCUCCCCCCUCUUCUCUUCGGUAGACCCCGUGACGAUGCUGAUGCCCCUGUGGUCGACUACGUCACCGAUGACCCAUCCUUCUUGUCUGAGCAACCAGGCAAGCCCCCCCUUGAUCACCAGAUAUCGCCUACUCUACUCUCUACUACUUGCAUUAGAGUAGUGUAGCAUGUUACUGCUUUCGAUUAAUCCUAUUCUGUUGCAUAGCCUGUCAUUGUUGCUACAGUUGUUCCCCUUACCUGCUAUCCUACUGCUUAGUCUAGGAUGCUAGAUUUCCAUCAGUGGCCCUACAUUCUUGUCCGUCUGCUGUGCUAUACUAUCGGGCCGUGAUCACCUGGGCGGUGAUCACGGGUAUAUACUAUAUACAUUAUAUACAUGACACAUGUGGUGACUAAAGUCGGGUCGGCUCGAGGAGUACCCGCAGGUGAUUCUGAUGAGGGGGCUGAAAGGACAGGUGGCUCCACCCCGGUAGAGGUGGGCCUGGGUUCUUGACGGCCCCCGACUGUUACUUUGUGGCGAAGCGACAGGGCAGGUUGAGACCACCCAGGAGAGAGGUGGGCCUGGCCCUGGUCGGCGUUCGCGGAUAAACAACACGCUUAACGAGUUCUGGGUAUUUGAUCUGAGUCUGGCCAUUUGGUCUAUACGCACUAACCAUCUACGUGGGAGUAGUUAUGGGUAUCCCGACGUCGUGGUAUCAGCCGAAGCUCUUUUGACGUCAGCGACUGAGUGGCGCGCGCCGGAUUGGACUGGAACGCCACUAGGCUAGGUCUGCUUCCGGCCGCGUACGCAACGUGCAGGUGUGCAUAGGGCGAUGGGCCCAGACCCCUGCGCGCAUAGGUUUAGACCGGCGUGCUGGCCUCUCUGUUGAGCCUAGGUGGGGCUGCGACGUGUUGAUCUUACGAGGCCGGGCAUGACCCAGAAAAGUGUGUCCGGCCAAAUGGGAUCGAGCGUGUUGGGUUAUGUGGUGCACCCCUGCAGUAAAGUUUAUCUAUUCGAAUAGCCGUGUCCCUCGGUAAAAGGACGACCCGGAGUUGUACCUUGACCUUAUGACAACUAGAACUGGAUACUUAAUAAAACACACCCUUCCAAGUGCCAGAUAUAACCCGGUGGUCGCUCUCUAACAGGGUGACGAGGAGGGGAUCGCCGGGUAGGAUUAUGCUAUGCGAUGCUACUUGGAGGACUUCAACCUACUCUCUUCUAUAUGCUGCAAGAUGGAGAUGUCCAGAAGCGUAGUCUUCGACAGGACUAGCUAUCCCCCUCUUAUUCUGGCAUUCUGCAGUUCAGUCCACUGAUAUGCCCCUUUACACAUAUUCCCAUGCAUAUGUAGUGUAGCUCCUUGCUUGCGAGUACUUUGGAUGAGUACUCACGGUUGCUUUUCUCCCUCUUUUCCCCUUUCUAUACCGGAUUGUCGCAACCAGAUGCUGGAGUCCAGGAGCUAGAGAUCCCGAGGAUGAUUCUACAACGAGUUCGGCUUCGAGGAGUAGUUAGGAGGUCCCAGGCAGGAGGCCUUGCCUUUUCGAUCGUGGCUACUUUUGUGCUAGCCUUCUUAAGGCAAACUUGUUUAACUUAUGUCUGUACUCAGAUAUUGUUGCUUCCGCUGACUCGUCUAUGAUCGAGCACUUUUAUUCGAGCCCUCGAGGCCCCUGGCUUGUAUUAUAAUGCUUGUAUGACUUAUUUAUGUUUUAGAGUUGUGUUGUGAUAUCUUCCCGUGAGUCCCUGAUCUUGGUCGUACACAUUUGCGUGCAUGAUUAGUGUACGGUCAAAUCGGGGGCGUCACAACUAGUUUGGUUUAUAAAAAGAAAACUACAAAAAUAUGGAAUUGAGGAAAAUUGUGCUCCAUUGUUAGAAGAAGAAUUCUAUAAAAUGUUUGACAAAAAAUCUUUGAAUGAUGAGCAUGAUUGCAAUGUUGUUGGUAUGAACUCUUUGAAUAUCCAUGAUGCUAGUGAUAUGCAAAGCCAUAAGCUUGGGGAUGCUAUGUUUGAUGAAGAUGAUAUUUUUAGUCCCCCAAGAUUUGAUGUGCAAAUUUGUUAUAAUGAUUGCAUGCCUCCUAUUUAUGAUGAUUAUAUUGAUGAAAGUGGGUUUGGAAGAGUGUCAACUUUAGAUAGUGAUCCCACUAUUUUGGAGGGUGUUGAAUCUUAUUGUUAUAAUGAUAAAAAUGGAAUUGGAAAGGUCAUGACUUUAUUUAGUGAUGAAUCCACUAUUUCGGAAGAGGUUCCAAUUGAUUAUGAGAACAAAAUUGCUAUAUAUGAUGAUUAUGGUGAUGACAUGUAUGCUAUAAAGAAUAAUGAUAACCAUGAAACUUGUCAUCAUGAUUUUAAUUUUCACUCUCAUGAUAGUUAUUUUGUUGAGUUUGCUCCCACUACUAUUGAUGAGAAGAAUUUUUCUUAUGUGGAGAGUAAUGAGUUUUCUAUGCUUUUGUGUCAUGAAAAGAAUGCUUUAUGUGAUAGUUAUAUUUUUUAUUUUCUUCAUGAUGCAACUGAAAUUUUUUUAUGAGGUAAGAACAUAUGCUUGUAGGAAUUGCAAUAAUAUCAAGUUUCCUGUCUAUGUGUUGAAAGUUUUGAAGUUAUGCUUGUUUUGCCUUCCUAUGCUAGUUGAUUAUUGUUCCCAUAAGUUGUUUGCUCACAAAAUACCUAUGCAUAGGAAGUGGGUUAGACUUAAAUGUGCUAGUCAUAUGCUUCAGGAUGCUCUCUUUGUGUUUCAGUUCUUUACUUUUAUGCGCGCAUCAUUGAAAUCAUCAUGCCUAGCUAAAAGGCACUAAAGAAAAGCGCUUGUUGGGAGACAACCCAAAACUUUUACCUACUGUUUUUGUGUGUUCACAUGAUUAGGCUACUAUAGUAAUCAUGUUUUAUUGCAUUCGUUUCAAUAAAGUGCCAAGUAAGACCUUUGGGAUCUUGCUAAAAAACAGAAACGUUGGCGCUGACGAAAAUAAGUCUCAUUUUUAACAUAAGAGUGCUUUUGAGUUGAUUAUUUUUGCAGAAGUUUAAUAUACUAAUUGCUCACGUGGUCAUAAUUUUUUGAGUAGCAGAAGUAUGGUAGUUAUCCAGAUCAUUACAGACUGUUCUGUUUUUGACAGAUUCUGUUUUCAAUGCAUAGUUUGCUUGUUUUCUAGUUUCUAUGGCUUAUAUUACUCAAUAUAAAUUGUGGAAAUGAUGAGGUACAGUAGGCAUUGUGUGGAAAAAAUUAUGAACCUUAUCUUUGACAGUACCAAAGUGAGAUGGUUUGCUCUUUAUCAUACUAACCUAUCUCACGAAGUUCCGUUAAGUUUUGUGUGAUUGAAGUUUUCAAGUUUUAGGUGAGAUAUCGAUAUGAGGAGAAUAAGGAGUGACAAGACACUAAGCUUGGGGAUGCCCAAGGCACCCCAAGCUAAUAUCCAAGGAAGAUCCAAGCAACUAAGCUUGGGGAUGCCCGGAAGGCAUCCCCUCUUUCGUCUCCAACAUUAUCGGUAACCUCCCUUGGAGCUAUGUUUUCUUCGUCACAUGAUUUUUUUUUGUUUGGAGCAUCAUUUUAUUUUGUUAGGAUUUUAUUGUUGUUAUUUAGAAUAAUCUUUUGCAUCUUUUAUUUCGAUAAAAGUGGCAAUGAUAGCCUUUGCCAUGCUUAUUUUGCAAGUAUACAUGUUGCUGUUUGAAAACAGAAAGUUUACCGGUGUUGCAAAAAUUCCCUAGAAAAGUCAAAAUGUGAUAAAAUGUUGAAACUUCUUGAAUAAUAAGCUAUGAUAAAUUCUCUACAGUGUGGUAGAAUUCCAUAAUGUUUGGAGUUGAAUAAGUAUUGAUACUCUUGCAUUCUUUACAAACUGUACUGUUUUGGCAGAUUGCUGUUAUGUUUGCAUUGUUUGCAUAUGUUUGCUUGUUUAAUGAUCCUAUUUGUGCAUAUGAGUAUUAAAUAUGCAGAGGCAUUUAGUAUGCAAUGUUGAAUAAUAAUUUUAGUGAUUUGCUGCAGUAGAUAAUGAUAAGGUUUUUGCAUUGGUUUAUACUGACUUAUCUCACGAGUUCUUGUUGAGUUUUGUGUGGAUGAAGCUUUUGAGAUUUAGGAAAACCGUGAUAUGAGAGGAAUUAAGGAGACACAAAAGCUCAAGCUUGGGGAUGCCCAAGGCAUCCCAAGAUAAUAUUUCAAGAAGUCUCAAGCAUCUAAGCUUGGCGAUGCCCCGGUAGGCAUCCCACCUUUUCUCUUCAACAAUAAUCGGUUAGUAUCGGUUGAGCCUAAGUUUUUGCUUCUUCACAUGAGUUGUGCUAUUCUUAGAACGUCAUUUUAUUUUUGUUUUGCUUGUUGUUUUAAUAGAAUACUUAGAUCUGUAAGUUUUAAAUAAGAGAGAGUCCAGACAUAGCUAUCUAUUUACUUAACUACUCAUUUGAUCUUCACUUAUAUCUUUUUGGAGUAGCUUGUCAUUUACUCUUGUGCUUCACUUAUAUCCUAUAAGUAAAUUGUUGAAUGAACUGAAUAUCAUGAAGUUGAAAUUAUAUCAUGCCUAGUGGUAGCUUAACAUUGGGUUUAGAAAGUGAAAGCUUUUGAGGCUUGACAAUCACAAUAUUGGUCAUACAAGCAAUUCCACGAAUAAUUAGUAUAAGGAAGAGAACUUUCACAUGCAAAUACAUUAUCAUGGAAAUAUUUUGUGAUUGUGAGCCCCCAUCAAAAUAUUAUAUGCCAAAAUUGUUGACGUUGAACAAGGAAGACAAUGUAAUGAUUUAUGUUUGCUCAUAUUCACAUAGAAGUUAUAUUGUCAUAUAUCCUUCAACAUGUGGUGCUUGCCCCCAUCUUUGCUAGCCAAAAAUUCUGCACCAAGUAGAGAUACUACUUGUGCAUCCAAAAACCCUUAAACCCAAAUCUUAUUUUCAAGAGUCCACCAUACCUACCUAAGGAUUGAGUCAGAUCCUUCAAUUAAGUUGUCAUCGAUGCAUUGAGGCAAUAAAAAUUGCUUCUAAAAGUGAGAUCAUUUAGUGUAAGAGAAAAUUGAGCGUUGUACGAACUUGGAUGGCAAAGAAUAGAAUCGACAGACUGCAUAAUAAAGGUUGCCAUCUUAAGGGGCAAUACAAUGUGACGUUCUUUUGCACUAAGGGAUUGAGCAUACAAACAAAUAAGCGCAUGGCAACCUCUGCUUCCCUCUGUGAAGGGCCUAUCUUUUACUUCUAUGUAUUUACUUUUAUGCAAGAGUCAAAGUUUUUCUCUCUAUUCCUUUUUUAUUUUCUCUUUUGGCAAGCAUCAUGUGGUGAGGACAGAUCUAGGCACAUAUGUCCAGUUGAAUAUGGGUAGCAUGAGUUAUUAUUGUUGACAUCACCCUUGAGGUGAAUACGUUGGGAGGCGAAACUAUAAGCCCCUAUCUUUUGUAGCGACCCGACCUCAGUCGGUCAAGUCUCUGUGCUUCCGUAUCAUCCCUAGAUCGGUAAUGCUGACACACACAGUACUCGAAUGAUUUAUAACAGAGUAGCAAUCACACACUUAUUACAUCAAAUGUCUCAAAAGAGAACUUAUUACAAUAAAUAUGGCAUAAGGCCAUCUAAUACGAUAACAUCGGAAGGCUUGGAAUAUAAAGUGAGUCCAUCAACUCCAACGGCAUAGCUGAGCUGCACGGCAAUGACCUAACGAACCUUACUCCUCGUCUGAAAAGUCUGCAACAAAUACGUUACAGCCCGAAAACGGGUCAGCACAUGGAAUAUGCUGGCAAUAUAACACGGUAGAGCAAGAACAGAAUAAAUGCUAUCACUACAUGCAUAUUUGGCUGGUGGAAAGCUCCAUGGUUAUAGUUUUGCGAAAAGCCAAUUUUCCCUACAACAAAGGAAUAGAUUUUAUUUAACUAUCAUGGUAGUUGAAACAUCAUUGAGAAGGUUCCUCCAACUCAAUCCCAAUUAAAAGUAAUUAUCAACCCAACAAUAUUAAAUUAAAGUGAUGAGAUACUUAGGAUAAUCCAAGUACUAGAUACUCAAGAUGUCCAUAACCGGGGACACGGCUAAUCAUGAUUAGAUUGUACACUCUGCAGAGGUUUGCGCACUUUUCCCCACAAGACUCGAUCUCCUCCGUUGGAUUUCUCGCACUACAUGGUGUUUGAGAAACGGAUGACCGAGACACAGUCUUUCAGAAGCAUUAACUCUAACCCCGGGUGGACAGUACCAACCUACAUCCCUCUAUAUCUGCUAGCCUACCAAUGGAAGAGGUCAUGCAACUUACUCAACUAUGCUAGAGCCCAUAAUAGCUUGUGGCUGCACACGGAAGUUUCUAGCACGAAAUAUCUCAGUUCCCUUUGAGCCUGGGUGGCGGAUCUUAGGAUGAUCACACGGGUACUCCGGGAUAUCCUAGGACAACACUGGAUUCUCCAGGUUCCCGACAAGCAAUCCACCCAGAUGUGUAUUAAAGUUGCCACCUUAAGUUGAACCAUUAAUUAACAAACUCACAUCUGUCAUGGAUUCACUCACCCAAACCACGUCUACGAGCAUAGCAUAGCAAUAUAAGCAUUACGUAGAAGUAACUCCCAAGGGUUUUAUAAUAACAGGGCAAUAGGUUCUACCUCGUCAACUACUUCCCAAUACCCACAAGUUAAUCACAUCCUAUUCAUGUAGUGUUUGAGGAUUGGAGCUAAUGCACAAAAACUGGGUAUGAAAAGACAAUGAUCAAUGUGUUACUUGCCUUGUUGAUGAUCCGCAAAACGUAGGGACUCGUAGUAGCACGCUUCGCACUCCAGGAAUUCUAUCGCAAACAAACAAUAGCAUACAUAAGCAAUAAAUCAUAGAUGAAUGGGCAAAACUCAAAUAAGAAGAAUUGACCAGAAAGUUCAACUUAAGAACUCCGGUUUGCAAAAAGAAUCAAAUCAAACGGAGCAACGAAACUCAAACUACGAAAGAAACAAGAUCCGAUUACUAAUCUGGACUAAAGUCAAAUUUUACAGUACCAAAAUCUUGUUCAAGUUGAUUAAACAGAAAGAGGGUUCCGAGACAAAGAUCUAGGCGCUUGAAUCGCCUGAUUCCGAUAAACAAGCGAAAAGAUAAACUAAAACGAAAAUCGGAUCAGAAAUCGCGAUCGAAAAUAAUCGAGAAAAACCCGAGAAAAAUAAAAAAUGACGAACAGGCUAACGAACGAACGUUCGUUGUCUGUGACUAACGGGCGAAAACUGUUCGUUAAAACGAAUGUACGGACGAACGUCCACAAAAUAAACUAAACCGAGAAAACCGGCGAACCGAUCUAAAAAAACGAACUAGGGUUUUUUUAAUAAAACCGACAGUUUUUACCAAAACCGAAAAAAACCGAGCGGCUCCGGAUCGGAUCGGCGGCGGCGGCUCCGGCGGCGAGGCGGCGGCUCCGGCGGCGCGAGGUGGGGCUGCGGGGUGGCGGCGGCGGCGCAAGGCGAGGCGAGGCGCGGGAGAUUCCGCCGAAAAUAAAUCCUAGAAAAAUAAAUAAAAAUUUAAAAAUGCCAAAACAAUUCACCAUCUAAAUAAAAUAUUUAGAACAAGAUGAACAUUUUCUUGGCCCUAAAAUGCAAUUUUGAAAACAUGCAAUUUUUCUAAUGCAAAUAAAAUAGCAAUAAAAUCCGAAUAAAAUCAAAUAUUUGAUUUUAAUAUUUUCCUCCAAUAUUUCAUUUAUUUUGAAGAAGUCAUAUUAUCUUCGCUCAUAUAUUUUAAUAUGAAAUAUUUUUCGGAGAGAAAUAAUUAAAACAAAUAAUCCUCGUUUCAAUAUUUGAUAAAACUCAAAUAUGAAAACAGUGAAAUCCCCAACUCUCUCCGAGGGUCCUUGAGUUGCUUAGAAUUUCGACGAUCGCGAAACGAAAUGCAACAAAAAUAUGAUAUGCAUGAAUGAUCUAUGUAUAACAAUCCAAAUUGAAAAUUUGGGAUGUUACAAACCUACCCCCCUUAAGAUGAAUCUCGCCCUCGAGAUUCGGGUUGGCUAGAAAAUAGGUGUGGGUGGUCUUUGCGAAGAUCAUCCUCUCGUUCCCAGGUGGCUUCAUCCUCGGUAUGGUGGCUCCACUGAACUUUGCAAAACUGGAUAACCUUGUUGCGGGUGACUCGGCUGGCAAAUUCAAGAAUCUUGACCGGCUUCUCCUCAUAGGUCAGAUCACUGUCCAACUGAAUCGCUUCUAGAGGAACUAUAUCUCUUAGUGGUAUAUCGGCCAUCUCAGCAUGACACUUCUUCAACUGUGAAACAUGAAACACAUCAUGAACUCCUGACAGUCCUUCAGGUAUCUCAAACUUGUAGGCAACCUCUCCCAUACGUUCCAAUACACGAUACGGUCCUACAAAUCUCGGGGCUAACUUUCCCUUAACUCCGAAACGUUUCACUCCUCGCAGAGGUGACACUCGCAAAUAUGCUCUAUCUCCAAUUUCAUAGGUUACUUCCUUGCGUUUCGAAUCCGCAUAACUCUUCUGCCUGGACUGAGCUACCUUCAGUCUAUCGCGAAUCAAUUUAACUUUCUCUUCAGACUCCUUGAUCAAAUCUGGUCCAAACAACUGUCGGCCUCCAACUUCAUCCCACAUCAACGGUGUUCUGCACCUUCGUCCAUACAGGGCUUCGAAUGGUACCAUCUUCAAACUGGCUUGAUACCUAUUGUUGUAUGAGAACUCCGCGUAGGGCAAAUUUUCAUCCCAACUAGAUCCAUAAUCUAGUGCACAAGCUCUCAACAUAUCCUCCAGAAUCUGGUUGACUCUCUCGGUCUGUCCAUCUGUCUGCGGAUGGAAUGUUGUACUGAACUCUAGCCUUGUGCCCAAAGUCUGGUGCAACUGAUGCCAAAACUUUGAGGUAAACUGUGUUCCUCUAUCUGAUACGAUGGUCCUCGGAACUCCAUGCACACAUACGAUCCUGGUCAUGUAUAUCUUGGCCAACUUCGCACUUGUAUAGGUGGUUUUCACAGGGAUAAAGUGGGCUACUUUGGUCAAGCGAUCAACUACUACCCAUACAGAAUCAUAUCCUGAUUUGGUCCUGGGCAAUCCGGUGAUGAAAUCCAUGCCAAGUUUAUCCCACUUCCAUUCGGGUAUCAGCAUAGGUUGUAGCAAUCCUGCUGGCUUUUGAUGUUGUGCCUUCAGUCUCUGACAUACAUCACAUACGACUACAUACUCGGCAAUAUCCUUCUUCAUACCAGUCCACCAGAAACGUUCCUUCAAAUCCAAAUACAUCUUGGUGUUUCCGGGGUGUAUCGAGUAUGGUGAGUCAUGAGCCUCCUGAAGUAUUAACUUCCUGAUCUCUGUGUUAUUAGGCACAUAAACACGGUCCUCAAACCAUAAGGUGUCGUGCUCAUCUUCACGAAAACCUUUGGCCUUUCCUUUGCUCAUUCUCUCUUUUAUCUCGGCAAUCUCUUUGUCAUCCUUCUGAGCUUCUCGAAUUGUUCCUAACAAUGUAGACUGAACUUCCAUUGUUGCAACAAAACCUCUAGGAACAAUCUCCAAUCGAAGUUCCCUGAGAUCCUCUACUAACUCCUUUGGCAAUCCUGUGCUUACGAGGGUGUUAGCAUAACUCUUGCGACUCAAAGCGUCUGCUACGACAUUGGCCUUGCCUGGAUGAUAGUGAAGUUUCAUGUCAUAAUCCUUUAUAAGCUCCAACCAUCUCCUCUGCCUAAGGUUCAGCUCCUUCUGUGUGAAAAUGUACUUCAAACUCUUAUGAUCAGUGUACCCAUCACAAUGGUUUCCAAUAAGAUAAUGUCUCCAAGUCUUGAGUGCAUGCACUAUAGCUGCUAACUCCAAAUCAUGCGUGGCAUAAUUCAAUUCGUGCGGUUUUAGUUGUCGUGAGGCAUACGAAACAACUCUUCCGUCCUACAUAAGCACACUUCCAAGUCCUAGGCGAGAGGCGUCACAAUACACUUGGAAAUCCUUGCGUAUAUCCGGCAGAAUCAACACUGGGGCUGUAGUCAAACGUUUCUUUAACUCCUGAAUACUCGCCUCACAUUCUUCCGUCUAUUUAAAUUUGGUAUCCUUCUUCAAUAACUCCUUCAUUGGCUUCGCAAUCUUGAAAAAAUUCUCAAUGAAUCUCCGAUAGUAUCCUGCGAGUCCAAGAAAACUGCGGAUCUCGCUAACUGAAGUGGGUGCCAACCAUUUAGUGACUGACUGAACCUUGGUAGGGUCUACUGAUAUACCUUCUCCUGAUAUAACAUGUCCAAGGAAUCCAACUUCCUUCAACCGAAACUCACAUUUGCUGAACUUGGCAUACAACUAAUGUUCCCUGAGUUUUUCGAGAACUCAACGCAAAUGCUCUUUGUGCUCCUCUUCAUUCUUCGAGUAUACCAUUAUAUCAUCAAUGAACACCACAACAAACUUAUUGAAAUAUUCCAUGAACACCUUGUUCAUCAUGCUCAUGAAGUAAGCAGGGGCGUUAGUCAGUCCAAAUGACAUGACCGUAUAUUCAUACAACCCAUACCGUGUGGUGAAUGUUGUCUUUGGUAUAUCCUUCUCUCAAAUCUUCAGCUGAUGAUACCUGAUCGCAGAUCGAUCUUCGAAAACACUUUAGCUCCUUGCAGCUGGUCAAACAAAUCAUUGAUCAUCGGCAGUGGGUAUUUUUUCUUGAUCGUCACCUCAUUCAACGCCCGAUAAUCAACAACCAUUCUCAAGGAUCCAUCCUUCUUCUUAACCAAGAGCACUGGGGCUCCCCACGGUGAUGAACUUCGUCGAAUGUAACCUUUCUCCAAUAACUCCUUGAUCUGCUUCUUAAUCUCCUCCAGAUCAUUUGCGGGCAUCUGGUACGGUCGCUUCGAUAUAGCACUACAAAAAAAAUACACUUCCGUGAUGAUACGUGUUUGUCACAGUAGGUCGCAUUUUCUGUCAUGCAUGUACAUCCAUGACGAUUUUAUGACAGAAUCAAGAUAGUCAUACCUGUGCUGUCGUAGAAGUGUUCCAUGACAUUACCAAAAUUAUCAUCACGGAAGUGUCCACUUCCAUGACGAUAAAUCCCGCGUCACAGAAGUGCUUUCGUCAAGGGUGGCCGACGCGUGGCAUCCACCGUAACGGAACGCCGUUAAGCUAUCGGGUAGGGUUUUGGAUCUGAUAACCCGUUAACAGCCCCGACCAAUGGGGAUUUUCCACGUGUAAAAUCAUCAUUGGCUGGAGGAAAGACGUGUCGGCUCAUCGUUGGGACAGAUGUCAUCCACUCAUUGGACAGAAGGCGCCUAUGAUACGUCGACACGUGGCACGGCCCAACAGAGGCCCAUUCCUGUGAAAAGGCCGGCCCGUUUGACUUGGUCAAAAGGUGGCGGGCCAGCCCAUGUAAAGCCUGUUAACGGCAUGUUCGCAUAUAGCCCAUUUACAGCCCGCUAACCCAAGGCCCGUUACGCCCUAUCCGAAUUAGGCCCAGUAGCGUCAUCUGGGCCACCCAAUAUGAUUCUAGCCCAUUUUCACUUCUGGCCCAUGUAUGGCCCAUGACGUCUUUCGGCCCAUAUGAGGCCCUAUCUAACUCUUGGUCUAUUAACGGCCCGUGGUGAAACUGGCCCGUAAUGAACAGUGUAUCACUUUACACCCAUUAACUGCCCGUGGUGAAACUGGCCCGUAAUGAACAGUGUAUCACUUUAUACCCAUUAACGGCCCGUUAUUCCGUUGGGCCAUUUCCAGCCCAUGUUAUCUUUCGGGCUUCUCAGAGCCCAUUUAUUCUUGGUCUCAUUUCCAGCAUUCGUUUACUUACGGCCCGUUACUGUCAUUUUCUGCUUGUGGGCCAAAUUCAGCCCGUGGUUACAGUCGGCCCGUUUGUGGUCCGUUAAUACGUUGGGCCGUUUUCAUAGCGUCAUCAAAUACGGCCUAUUAAUGAUGGCCCGUUAUGGUCGGCCCAUGAACGGACGAUUCCAACUCUAGCCCGUUUAUGGCCAUAAUGCGGCCUGUUAUUGGCCCAUGUUUGGCCAAUCGAUCAUACUGCCCGUAUAAGGCCCAUUGAUGAUACGGCCCGUAGAAGGCCCAUUGUUUCUACGUCCCGUAGAAGGCCCACUGUUUCUACGGCCAGUAGAAGGCCCACUGUUUCUACGGCCCGUAGGAGGCCCAGUGUCACUAUAGUAAAUAUUAGCCCAUGGUUAUUGUGGCCUAGUUUUAAAAAAUAGGUUAUUGCAGCCACUAGCAAACCGCGGAAAAAGAACUGCAACGACUACAAGCAAACAAAUAGACAAGACAACAAGGAAAUAAAUAAGCAAGCAACUUACGCUAGGCUAUCACGGCUAUCACACAUAUUACAUCCACUGGGCAUCAAAGUUCGCCACCAGUGCAAAUAAACGCGCCGACAAAAGAAUAUACAAAAUUGAGAGCACUUCAGAAGGCACUAGGCCUGGCCACGUCGGCCCCCCCCCCCAAACAGCUGAAGAAGCUGAGUAGACCUCAGUUGUGUCAACGAUUGAUGCAUCAACACUGGAUUUAAGGCAUGAUGGUGCGCACAGCAGUCCUCUGACAUCUUCAUUGCAUCUUUGACUUCAAGUCGGAGCUGAGCUGAAGCAAGCCUUUCCGCUUUAAGUUGAGACUGAAGAAGUCGAACUGAUUGAGGCAGCGACUGCACAGAGGUUGUCUCACACCUGCUGGUGAGUAGCUUCAACUCACUGUCUUCAUCAAGACAGGACCUUGGGGUCAUCUCGCUGUCCUCAAGAUGGUUUGGCUCACUAUCUUCCCUAAAGUUCUGCCUGGCGUAAGAGAUACGAGUCUGAAAGAGAAACAAGGAUACACGUAACAGGUUUCACAAUUAUAUAAGCAAAUAAAUGGAUCUGUUCUGCAUAAGGAACAUGUUUUUACAACUACAAUUUGAAACUGGUAGUUGUUGCAAACAUCCAAUCAGAUGUAAACAACAAAGCAAACAGCAGUGGAGGAAAUGCUGCCUAUCCAAAUCUAUACUAGAACAAAGUUUGAAGGCUUGAGAAGGAUGAACAUACAUUACAUGUUAACACGGGUUGGACAAAGCCCUUCUCCAUGUUGAUGGAAGGAUAAUUCAAUAAAUUCCCCAAAGAAAAUUCUUUAUAAGCGUUGCCAUUAUUCUACAUUUUGCAAAGAGUAAAUAUAGAUCAAAUAAUAUUGGAAGAAACAGAGGAUAAUGAAGCUCAGGUGCAGACUGAUGAUACAUAAUCAAAUAGCAAUUAAUUAAGUACAGCGUUACAAGGCAAAAGGGAGAGAGGUACUGACAAGAGCAAUGCAGAGCCCAUUAUUGUUUUGAGAUCGUAUGAUCCUUUGAGCAAGGAGAUUCAUCUGAAAUUAGUUUUCAUACAAGAGAGAAGGUAAGGCACGAGCAGAAAUUUAGGAGUUCAAAUUUUGAAUUGAUAUCAUAGACAGUACGUGACGCUGGGCUCCCAGCAGUUCUAAUAGGGGUUUGGCCACUGGAGUAGGGGUAAAGUGUGGUAUAGUUGGGCCUGUGUUUUCUGUGGCUGCUGAUCUAUCUGAUUUAACAGGUAUCACUACCUUUUCCAAAUACCUAGUUUGUACUCCUUGAGGAUCUGCACUCACCCUCUUCCUUUUGGACAUCUAUUACGAAAGAACAACAUUUGACUAGAAAACAUAGUGUGACGACACAUGGAAUAGGUACAGAAAAUGGAUAGGUAUGGCAUAUACUCAUAUAUGAUGCUUAAACUAAGCAGAUGGUGUAACAAAGUAGAACUAAUGCAAGAGGUCAGAUGCAAAAUAUGUGCGACCAAUACAACUUUGCAAAGUUAGAGCAAGCACCUUGAUGGGUGAAUAAGAUAGGCCAUCCUCCACCAUGCCAAGUUUGUUAGCCAGUGGAUCGUUCCGCAAUAUUCCUCUCGUGCGCCCAUUCUCAUAUUCAUUUUGAUAAUGUUCAAUAUCUGACAUGCAUGAAAACAUAAAAACAAGUGAGAUUUUCUUUGUAAUGCACAAGUGAUUCUAAUCCAAUACUGCCUCCCUGUAAACCUCUUUGUGCUAUCUCUGCAAUUCUUUUAAAAGAUGCCACUGUAAUUUGUUGUGUUCAUUAAUAUAAUGUGGCCUACUACUCAAAAUAUGAGAGCUCCAGAAGUGAUGACACUUCGCAGAUGAUAGCUUCAACAUAUAGUAAAGAAGAACAAGUCGACCUGACCUGACAGAUUCAAAAUAUACUAAGGGAGAACAACUCGACCUGACCAGUCGACCGCAAGAGAAGAGUAUCAUCUUAAAGAAGAGCAGAAGAGCAAGCAGAUUGAAGAUAUUACAAGUCUUUCAAUACAAUGUCGGUUGGCCACCCAUGAUGAACCAGAGUGCACAGAGAAAUACUAUUCUUUCAGGUCUCUCCAUAUGUGGCUCACAUGCAUUUUGAAACUAAAGUAGGAACAUUUAGCUAACCAAUUAAACAUCUCUCAGUUUUACUAUAUCAGCAAUAUCAUCAGAUAUGAAUUUGUACAACUUAGCUUGUUUAGCUCGAUGGGUGGAGCAGUGCUAUUACGACACGAACCACGUAGGCUGAUUGUGGUCAUCAUAAAAUGGGGAAAACAUAAGCAUGAUGAGUACAGUGUUGACCGUGGCAGUGGGAUAGCAGAUCUGAAGCUGCAAACCGCGCAAAGGGUAGUUAGCAACCGAUGUUUGCUUUGAAAUAACAACUAAGAUUUGGUAUGGACAAGAAAGUAUGGUCAACAAGUGACAAAGAAAUGCAAUUAUGCUGUCUCUCUAUAUGUCGCGACAUGCAUUUGGAAACUCAAGUGGGACCUUUAGCUAACCAAUUAAAAGUGUCGGUUAACUAAUAUCAGUAUCAUAUCACAAUCAUAUUUGAACAACUAAGCUUUCGAAUUCUGAGUGUUGUGUUGUUUAGCUUGAAGGGUGGAGUAAUGCUAGUAUGACAUAAAGCACCUACGCAGAUCAUAGUAGAGUAGAUAAAAGGGGAAAACCCUAAGCAUCAAGAGAAAAAUCAGGAAAGUGGAACUAGCUGGACCAGUGGGUGGCGCACAUGCUUUUCGAAACGAAUAUAGGAACAUUAGGUGACCAAUUAAACGUUCUCUGUUUUAGUGAUAUGAGCAUCAUAUCAGAUUCGUAUUUCAACACGUAAGCUUUGGGUUGAGGUCUUGAGGAGCAGUGCUAGCACGACACGAAGCACCUACGAUGAUGGUAGUGAAUAUAAAGGGGGGAAACCAUAAGCUUUACGAGUAGAGUGUCCGUGCCAUGGCGGAUCUGAAGGUGCAAACCGGACAAAGCUACUUCGCAACCAAUGUUAGCUUUCAACUAGCAACAAGAAAAGUACAGUAAACAAAUUACGAUCUAUUUUUGGGAGAGAUCAAUAAAUUAAGCACAUAUGGAAGAGUACCACCUCUCUUCCGACGCCGUGUAGGCCUAUGCUGAUACGUUGAGGGUGCUGCGGGUGCGAUGGCUGUCGGUGGCGGGGAAGAAGACUUUAGACGGCAGACGGCCGGGUCGGGGGAUAUAUCCUGUUGCCGUGGACGAGGCGGUCGUAGGAGCGGCAACGGCAAGGUGGACAACGGCGCCGAUGAAGCGAGAGGAGGCGAUAAAAGGAUCCUGGUCCAGCGCCGUGGAUGAGAGAUGUCCAUCUCUUGUAGUGGACGACAGGGUAGGGGUAGCGGCUUCGGCAAGGUGGAGGAUGGGGUGCCGGACGGAGGAGGCUGGCCGCAGUGCGGAGGUUGUCAUGCCGCCGACGGUGUAUGAAUGGGGAAAUGGAGGGGAGGGGGAUCUCAAACUUUGGGACGCGCUUCUCUAAAAUGGGGGAAAGUUACGAACUUAUCCCCCGUUUAAAAUUUCGGACAUCGCGUCGGUUGGGGAUAGGACGAUAAUCUCGCAUCUCCCAAAUAUUUGCCGGUAACUAUUUCACGCGAGGAGAGGGUGUUUUGCCGGCCACGGUUGGCGCCCACGGUGUAUUAACGGGCCUGACAGGUAGGGCGGUUGUGUCACGUCUGAUGGAAGUUACACAUCUGCCCCUAUUUAAAAUAUUAGCCUACAUCGAUUUCGGACAAGGAGAGUUUGUUUUGCCGCCCACCGUGUAUGAAUGGGGAAAUGGAGGAAGAGACACAUGUCUUUCGGACGAGCUUGAAUCAAAUGUGUUUUGCCGCCCACGUUUGGCGCCCACCGUGUCUGAAUGGGCUCCGAGGCCGUCGUGUCACGUCUGAUUGAAGUUACUAGUCUACCCCUAUCGACAGCAGUGUAAAUCCGGUCGAUAAGGAUGUCAAGUGUCAGGGGUAGAUAGUAAUUUCCAUCUCGCAAACACUUGCUUCGGGCAGCCCACAAAUUAUAGUGGGUGUUUAGCCGCUUCGUUCAAAACUUGGGAGAAUUAGCAUUCACGUUUGCCCUGGGACCUGGCAAACUAAAUUCAAAUCCAAUUUGUAUUCGAUUACGAAUAUCCACAGAUAAUUAUAUGUUUUGUUAUUUAUUUCUUCAAAACCACAACAAAGAUUUAUUCCACCUUUAUAUAUGGUUAUGAUUUAGAAAUGCCGUGAUUUCGAAUUCAGUAGGUUGGAUACACUCUGAAUCAAACAGUUAUUUCAUCCAAUACAAUAUGCCCAUACGAAAAACAGUUCACCUUAUGUAAAUCAUACAAGUACUGAGGAUUACCUCGCCUAAAAAAUUCGGAUCAUUACAACACAUGGACAACAUAGGGGGUCUUGCAACAUAAUCCAUUCAGAGACAUGACACAACAUGCAAGUACAAUAAUCUAAUGAUAACUGGUAUCUAAAGAAGAACCGGGAUUACCUUGGGCUUCAGAUAGCAGAAACAGCAGGACCUCCUCCAUCUUCAAAUGCAACAUUCUUACUUCCUCCAAUUCUUGGGUUGCUUGCAUAAUGCGUGCCGCUAAUUCCGUAAUUUCCAGCCUCAAGAUAAAGAUGACCUCAUUCAUGGCAGCCACACCAUCUCUUUCUGCCUCUAGUAGAGCCUCAAGCACUAUAAUAUCUGUGCUCAGACUGCUCUCUGGCGGUGUUGCCUCUGAACUGCUACCAUCUGGUAACAUGGAUGGCGCACUGCUUCCAAAAAAUAGAUUCUGGGGUUGUACAUUGUGUCCUAGUGUGAACGGCAUCCUGAAAGGUUUCUGCUGGACAUCAGUAAGAGAUAGUUAUCGUAUGAUCCAGGCAGUAAGCUUACAUGGUAAACGACGGACGAAUUAUUGCCGAGCAUGGCAAACUAUAUUUAAAUGGUUCGAAGCAGCAUCAGCCGAAAAGAAAUUAAAAUGGUAAGAUGAAACAAGGGAUGUAAGUGGCAAAUAAACGACAUCCGCCAGUCCCAUCUAGUUAGUUUUUGCUACCUCCCUAGUUCAUUUUCCUCAAAAAACAAAAAACUCUUUUGAACUAUCAUACCACUAGUGGACUUUAAUCGGGAUUAAACGGGACCCAGUUGACAUCCCUAGUUGAAAGGGAGUGUACAACCGCUAUAUUUAAGUUGCCAAGGCAUCUAAGCAGUUGAAAUAAUCUUAGAAAGCACUUAAUAGUGUGGCCUCAUAUAAACUACGAAGAAAAUCUUAAUAGUGCAUGCAUUUCUUUACGAUAGUACAGCAGGCACUGCUGACAUAUUGGCCAACUCAGGUAUAGCGUAACAACAAAUAAGCAUUCGAAUCAAGCACUACAGCAAAGCAGACAACUGAACUAUUUGUAAUUCGGUAGGAUUACACGUUGAGGGCACAAUCCAAGAAAGCAGCCCACUCGCAUUACAUUUCACAUGUACUAAAACACACUGGCUUACCAUAUGUUGCUGUGAAGCCUAGCUGCUGUUGCAAUGUUCUUUGAAGAUAUCGCCAGCAUCCCGUGGUUGCAAAUCUAGUUGUUGUAGUUUAUUCUGCACCAUCUAUUUAGGUAAAAUUAAUUUUAAUCGCAUGCACUGGUCCGAAUUGAUCAUCAAUGGUUCAUCUAAACUAAUGAAAGAAGGGUUUGUGCAUACACGACAAUAUAUCUGCUUCCAUCUAUUUUAUGCUUGUUCGAGGUGCCAGCCCCAAAAGAACAAAUAUUUUGCUUGAUGGGGUUGGCAACUCCAUAAUUAAUAGAAGCAUCAAAUUAGUCAUGCAACUUGGGAAGAUCAAGAACACACAAACAAGUAAUGAACAGAGGCUCGGAGCAGUGAUGUAAUAGUUAGCAUCAGAAAAUGUAGGGUAAAACGAACAAAAAGCAGCGGAACCACAUGCUAGUUUGCUGCUGUGUAAUUAAGCAUAGAGAACAUUAAGCAGUCUGAUGGAACCAACAGGUGGCAUCAGAACAAAACUAAAGCAUAUUAACUAUAUGUGCACUGGUAUGUAAUUUAGCACAUGUAACAUGUUCACUGCCAGAAGUAUGGCCCUAUAGGUGCAAGCAGAAGAAUGCGUCUCAUGAAAAACUGAAUGAUGCCCUGAAGAAAUUCAAAGGUGCGGUGCUUAUGCUAGGAAAGUGAACGUAGGCGCCGGCUGUUGGAUAAUAGUACCUGAUUCUCGGCAGUGUACGGGUAUCGUUGUCAUACUUGAUAGCUAAGGAUCGUCGAUGGUGCUCGUGUUGCGGUUGAGUUUGGGCCGGCUGUCGCCGUCGCUGAAGCGGCUCCGGUGCUACGGUUGCGGCGCCUGCCGACAUACAAGAAAGCUCAUCUGUGGUAAGUGAACAGUUGCACGAUAAAGAGAAAAACCGAAGGAGUACAAAUCAAAAUAACCUGAUGAGGCUGCAGCGUCGGUAAAGCAGGGCCGGUGGAGUUGAAUAUGGCGUCCGUGGAGCGGGUCCGGUGCAGUGGACGAAGGCUUCAGCGGGUGCGUUGUACAGUGCUUUCGGUGAGGCGGAUCUGUUGCGGCAGACGAGGGCUUGUAUGAAGGGCCAGCGAAGGGGCUGACGAGGGAGUCAGUGAAGGGCCUACGCUGUGGUGGACGAGGGCGCCGGUUAAGCCGAUCCGGUGCGGUGGACCAUGAUGGCGGUCAAGGAUAUCUAGGGCGGUGGACAAGCCAGUCGCUGAAGCGGCUACGGUGAAGUGGUGAGUUGGCAGUUGGGGGUUCCAAGGUGCGGAAGGUAGAUCCGGCGGGGUGUGAGGUCCACAGCUGCGGCGGAGGACUAGAUUCGGCGGCUUGCCGUGGUUGGGGGGUCGGGGAGGGGCUCUGGGAAGAAUGUUGGGGGCAAAGAGGGGAAAACAAUGGAGUUACCAAAGCAGCCCUUUUCCGUUCAUGUGGCAAGGGUAAAACAGGAAUAUCGCAGGGCUAAACUUUCGGGCGCGUGAUAUUUCGAUGUGAGCGGGAAGUUUGAAAGCUUUUGGCGCCUAAAAUUAUAAGUAUUCUGCUCUCGUACGGCCGACUAUGAUAUCAUGGCUGACAAUUUGUUUGUUUUGCACGCAAAAAAAUGUGCAAGUUUUGAAAAUCAAUGUCUCCAACUCGAAACCUAGAUUGUCCAUUCAAUUCAAAUAUGGAUCAUUGAGCUACUACAAGCAAAUACCAUCAUUCGGUCCAAUUCAAAUGAAAUUCCAAAUGUGUAUAUCCUAAAUAUGAUGACAAAAGCAAAAUUGUGUAUGUGUAUGAAUAAAGUGGAUGAUUAUAAAGCUUGAACAUGCCCGUGUGUGUAUAUCUCUAGGUUUGAUAUAUGAAUUUGAAAUCACGAAAUCCCGGCUUAAAAAAUGUACCUCCGUUUAAAUGAAUUACAAAAGCUAAUGAUGGAGUCGAAUUCCAAAAUUCCAAUCUUAGGUUUGUAAUUCUGGUACAUCAAGGUAUAUCACGCAUGUUCAAAAGUAUCGUUAUCUCAUAGUACAAAUNNNNNNNNNNNNNNNNNNNNNNNNNNNNNNNNNNNNNNNNNNNNNNNNNNNNNNNNNNNNNNNNNNNNNNNNNNNNNNNNNNNNNNNNNNNNNNNNNNNNNNNNNNNNNNNNNNNNNNNNNNNNNNNNNNNNNNNNNNNNNNNNNNNNNNNNNNNNNNNNNNNNNNNNNNNNNNNNNNNNNNNNNNNNNNNNNNNNNNNNNNNNNNNNNNNNNNNNNNNNNNNNNNNNNNNNNNNNNNNNNNNNNNNNNNNNNNNNNNNNNNNNNNNNNNNNNNNNNNNNNNNNNNNNNNNNNNNNNNNNNNNNNNNNNNNNNNNNNNNNNNNNNNNNNNNNNNNNNNNNNNNNNNNNNNNAGAGAAGUCGUUCUCUCCCCCAAACACCAACACACGAGCACAUUAACACCCCUCUCUCUUGUAAAGUCCGGAUCCCAACAUAGGUCUCUAUCACUUUGUCUCUCGGGCAUGCACACAUCUCUUACCUCACUCUCUAGGUCUCCCGCUAUCUCUCUUACCCAAGCAAACGCACUAUGUAGAGUGUAUAUUUCCCAUACACACAAAACGUCGCCCCCAAACGUCUAUCUCCCUAGUCAUUUGGUUCUCGCGCACUCACCUCACACACCACCCCCACUGCAAACAAGCACACUUUGUCUCCUUGUGCACCACUCUCCUCUUUCUAUCUCUCCCACAUGCGGACCCGCCCCAGCUCCUUCCCUGUAUACAUAUAUGUCGUGACUCUUUGCCUAGCUCCCUAAUGUAUAAUCGUUCUCGAUUUUGCACAUUGUUCUCUACACCAUCUAUUCUAGAUCUCUCAUGAAGUCCCUAUCACACACACGAUGACUCGCUUCCCUUGCGUCUCCGUUCAUAGGCCAAUUUCGGACAACAUCAACAUUGUCUCCCUAUCUAUACGCCAUUUAUGGACACAAACGACCCCUCUCGCCCCCUCUCUUCCUCUCUCUCUCUCUCUCUCUCUCUCUCUCUCUCUCUCCGUCGCUAGCUCUCUCUUUCUCUCGCUCUCACACCCCUCUCCCACACACACACUCGAUGUCUCUUCCAAAUAGUCUGCUCCCCCCGCCCGCACCCGUGCUAUCUCGCUACUACACAUGUCACACCAUUCCCCCCUUUCCUUAUACUAGGUUUACAUCAUCAGUGGUCUCUCUACUCCACGUACACUCUCUCCCUCUCACACACAAACGCGUGCACAAACACACACAGACACGCACAAACACCCAUUUAUCUGGAUCCUCAUCUCUCCUCAUGUCCGCAUGUGUAUCUCACACACUCACUCUCUAAUUAUGUAUAUGUGUCUCCACGUUACACAACACAAAGCCCCAUGUACAUGUCUCUCUCUAUCCUCCACACACAUAGACACAAAGAAUCUGUUAUCAUUACCUCAGUCUCUAACAUAUCACACACGCACACUGUCUCUCUCUCUCUCUCUCGCAAACACGCUCAACAAGGGUUUUCCCGUGAAUAACUUACCGUCUAUUCACCAACAGUCGUGGCAGUACGGCGAACACGAGACGUGAAAAAGAAUAAAUCUACACGUGCUUAGACCACCUAGUAUGACUACUAGGACUAGAGCAAGCCAAAAAGCGCGCCGCCGUCACCCCCUCCUUGUCGGCGACGGGAAAAUCUUUGUUUUACACAGUCGAGAAGUCAUUGUGCUAAGGCCCCACAUGCCGAGGCGUUGAAUAGAAUGUAGAUGCUAGUUUACGGAAGCAAAUAUCGAUAAUACGUUUGUAUCUCCAUACUUAUAUUUCUUCUCUUAUAAAAAACCGAGUUGGUGAUGAUGGUACGUGUGCCAUCUUGCAAUAUAGACCGUCCAAUCUAUAUCUGACGGAUGGAAACUAAACUAAAAGAUACCCGCACCCCUCUCCACAUUUGCAGACAAGGCCUUCCCUCGUUCAUCCUUAUCUCCAACAAACCUCAUUGUUGAGCAAUUAAGAAAGGAAGCCUCUGGAACAAACUGGCCUGGUGGCCGCUGCCAGCGUCGUCAAUCCCCAUGCCUCCGCUCAGUCCGACCACCAACCACCACCACACCCCACUCCUCUUCACCUUAUCUCAUAUUUCUCGAGAUAUCAUUAGUUUUUACACAUGGGAUUACUCCCGCAAGGGUCAAUCACAACAAGUGUUUUAUAAAAAAAUGCAUCUUGAUGUUCCGUGCAAUGCACGGAUCUUGCUAGUACUCCUACACAAGACUAAGUUGGUGAUGCUGGUGUGUCUGCCAUCCAUCGUUUCUGACCAUUAGAUCUACAUCUAACGAUUGUGAGGUAAGUUGUUGCCUUUUCUCACCAACAUCCCACUUGUCUACCAAUUUGCAGAAAAACCCAUAAUUAGUAUCUUAAAACCAACCACAUCCCUCCCUGGCCUCACCAAAACAGCCCAAGGAAUAUAUUCUAAUUGAAACAUAAUAUAUCUCUAGUGACAUAUGUAUAUCAAAAUUAGAGUGUUUUGUACCAAGUUUGUGACUAAGUAUUAUUCUAAUUAUGAUUCGUUGCAACGGACAUGAACAUUGCUAGUAUUUCCAACCAUACAUUUUUCCUAGUAUUCCAUAGUUUCGAGUUUUCCAUCAAGAUAUUAGUCACUCAUGGUUGAUAUUUACUUUCAAUCAUGUACACAUAUGCACUAUGUAACUAGCCUUGCUUAUUGGCUUCCAAAGCUUAACUUUCACUCCUACUUACAAUAUGUAGAGUAUUUAACAAAAAACUACCACUUUCGACCAGCCCUAGGAAGAAUCUAUUGUACAAAAAUAGCAAAAACAUACCCAAAAUUUCUUAAUCCACGCCAAAAACUACCUAGUACUCCUACCGAUUAGGUUCGUUUAAACCCAUUUAUGACAGGGUUGGCCUACACGUCCGUGCUGAGAGGCAGCUUAAACCAACACAUUUUGUUUGACCGUUGACACGAGGGACCCACAUCUGACCUUCCAUCAUGUUAUUCCCCCUCAAAUCAUUAUUUUUCCUGAACAUUACUUCAAACAGUACUGAUGCGUGUUCGUCGGUGGCGCCGGUGAUGAGCGAGUUGGCCGCCGCUCCGCCGGACAGGCCGGACGCCGCGCUGGCCUCCGCAUGGGUUGGCAGGCUGGCCCGAGUGUGAGUCACGAGCGAGCAAGCCGCCGCGCUGGCCUUCGCUCGGGCCAGAUGGCUGGCCUUAGCGCGACACGCACGAGCAAGCCGCCGCGCUGCCGUGCCAAUCUAGCUAGCAAACCUUGCAGACAAGCAGCUGGACGGAGCUAUCUUGGCUAGAUAGCGGCCGCGAGCGCCGGACGGAGCUGGCAUCCGGGCUGCCGCAACAUGGGCUCCGCACCGCCGACGGUUUUGACCUCGCCUUCUGCCGGCGGCGGUAGCUGCGUCCCGUGGCCGAGGAUGACUAGGUGGACGGGCCGGAGGGAGGAGGUCACUCGAGGAUUUUUGCUGGUAAGAGCAUGUACAAUGGUUGAUAAGGUAGUCUUAUCUUAAGUCUGCCACGUAUGCAAGUGGUAGUAGUUUCUUGGCAUUUUAGUGGUUUCUUGCAUUAUUAGAGCAAGUACAAUAGAGCUGAGUCAGCGGACUAUAAGAAAUAAACUAGUAUAUUUCUGCUUAGUUGGAGGAAAGAGAAGAGGAGAGAGAAGGUAAGCGGGCUCUUCGUGAAGAGCCAGCUCUAGCACGUGCUCCUAGGCACUUUGUGAGAAUGAGAAGUGGGCCACAUAAUAAAAAAGUAGUACACUCUUUUGAUCUAUUAUUGUACAUGUUGGCUAUAAGAUGGGCUGUAGAUGACAUGGCACUGGCUUAUAGCCAGCAGCUGGCUAUACUAUUAACCAUUAGGGGUUUCUUGUAAGGAACAAUGUACGUACUACUAGCGACAAAAUGCGAUUCUAGGUUGCGCUGUACUCCAACGAGUACUACUAAUGGUCGCGGGAGUGUAUACCUCGUUUUGUGGGUUCGAUCCCGGCCGAACGCACGGCGGCCUUUUUUUUAAAUAGUACUACUACACUUCGCUGUGAGCCGAUAUUUUAUACGGGUAGUUUGAGUUUUGAAGUCAAACGGGCGUGCAGCCCCACAAUCUCGGUGCACUGGACAGCCUAGCCACGUGAACGGGUUUUCCCUCCCAACAUCCCGUGGCUCGCGUGCUCGCCCUAGCCGCAUCUCGCUUGCAGCUUCCAGCUAGUAGCAUAUUUAAACUAGCGCCUCCCAAUUAAGCCCGAGGAGCCGGAAAAGCCUGGCGGGGCAUUGGGAACUGUGCAAUAUGGCUCUGUACGUAAAGUGCUCUACUACUAAUCUGUAGCUUGUGGCGUUGCACGCAUGGACUUCACUCCAUUAUCGGCUCUACUAUAAAAGAAAUUCCUCUUGACGUGUUUUUUUUGAAACGAAGGCAAAAGCUUUGCUUCAUCUCAUUCAUAAAGAAGGAACUACUAACAAAGUUCGACAAGAUCCAUUACACCUCCACAAAUGGAAGCGAAAAGCCUAGUCUCGCUGUAUCAAAUAACUCAAAUGUUCUGCCUCCGCAGUAACCGUCGCUGAUAAACAGGCUGCUAGUGUGUGCGUGAGAGGAGCGGCUGAGUAGGCCAGCUACAUGAGAGGAGCGGCUGAAUAGAUCACCGAGAGUACCCACUAGGGCACUACGCAGGUGUACUUCCCCUGCAUUGAUAGUACAGCGAUGGUUCUAGAGAACAGUAGUACCCUCCACUUCCAACUGUAGCUCCUUGGCCCUGAGAUUCAAGAGUUCAAAACUGGUGCACUAUACUAGACUAGACUAGAAGUACAGUACAUCGCACUACUAGUUGAGAAAAGUAGUACGAGUACUGCUACAGUACGAGUACAUACUCCUCCGUCACAUAAUGUAAGACGUUUUUUGACACUAGUUGGCGUGUACAAAAAAUGGCAAAAACAUACCCAAAAAUUCUUAAUCCACGCCAAAAACUACUACCUAGUGCCAAAAAUUUCUUACUAGUGCUAUUAUUUACAGUAUAAUGCAAUCCCAUAACGUUCCAUAAUGCUAGUACUAGUAGUAAAUAAUAGCCUCACCCCUUCGCUGAGGAACGAUCUACAGUUGGAAGGGACGAGGCCCUACGGUUACUACGCUCUUAUCUCCUCCUCGCCAGUCCCCCUCCCCCCGAAGAGAAGGCAGUUCAUCGCUGCACCCAUGGAUUCGCCAGGCGGUUCUCCUCCUCGUCGGGGCUGGGAGACCUUGGACGACGAUCCUCUGGGAGAAAUCGCACGCCGCUCCGACGUCCUCACCGCCGCAAGACUCGGUGCUUCCUGCACCAACUUUUUCAAGACGCAGCUUAAACAGGCUUGGGAAAAGGCCAUGCUUGUUGGUCUUCCAUGCGUCCUCGAGGAGAAGGUUCUUCUAUGGGACAAUCCUUCGAACAGUCCACCACUCCCUGGCCAUGGUUGCACAUUGACUCCGCUAGAGUUGCCGACGUUGAGAGGUAGUCGGAUUUUGUCCGAUGAGCAGGUCAGUAAUGGAGUUUGAUCAUGUAGUACUUAGUUAUUCCAUUUCCAUCCCGUAAUUUCUCCGCUGCCCACCGUCUUAUAUAUAGGUCUGGGUCGGUGCCAAUGAAGAUUGGCUUGCAUACCUCCGGCCGGAUACCACCAUCAUUUUGCACAACAUCCACAGCAGUGCGGCCGUUCCGGUAGACCCCUUCUCCACCAUUGGGAUCGGCCUUCCGGACUGGCUGGGCUUGAAUACGUAUGAUGAUGCCUACAUGAGAUUGAAGAAGAUAGCAAUUGCGGACCCGCCGACAAAGCGACGCGGCUACGACGAUUACUAUCUCAUCGCGGUGUUCGACAUAAGGAUUGCCAUCAAUGCAAGAGGCAGUAACGGCAGAGGCUGGCGCAUGUUGGCGGCGGCAGAUUUGUACCCCUACAUGUUCGAAGACGCCGUGCGCCAUCUAGGCCGCAUCUUCGCGGUGACAAGCCAGGGGACUUGUUUCAUCUGGUUGCCAUCCUACGGUACGGGAGAUUACAAACGGAAUGCACAAACCAUCAUUUGCAUCCCUAACGGUACUCCAUUAUUUUGCAGGGACCAGUCAUCCCCCGAUCAAAAUAAGAUCGCCGAUCCUGGAUGUGCAUUUGCAUCUGCGAUUCGGUCUAACCUGGAACCUUGUAGCUGACUUUGGCAUAUUGGGAUCAACUAUCUUAGCAGUCGUUACCCAUGGUACCACUGAUGUGCAACAUGGUCACACAAUCUACCACGAUCGGACCGUCACCAUCUACCCAGGUAUUCCAUUUUUUAACCCUCUCGCCUUCUCUUUCAUUGUUGUACUAGUAGUAUACUUUGUAGUACUAGUAGGAGUACUUUUUACCUUAGAGGAUGCGUAUAGCUAGCUAGGCCCUUGAAGACUUGAACCCACUAGCUGCCACCAUUUUCAUUUUUCCAUGUCUUACUAUCUCAUCCAUGUAGCCAAGAGUAGCUAUAUAUAAUAAGCCAGUUAUUUUACUUCCUCUAUACCGGAGUAGUACUAUUUGCUGCACAGUAUUACUGACCGCCAUAUUUGAGCACAACAUUAUUAUGCAUGGACCUUGACUAUGUACGUCACCAUGUGUCCAGAUCUGGGAUGCUGCGUGUACCAGAUGAACGGCGCCGAGUUCGACCCCUGUGAUGCUACGUGGGUGCCGAGGAACACUCUUGGAGAGUACUCGCUUUUCAUCGGGGACAGCUACCCCAUUGUGAAGCGGAUGCCACCUUCCGUGCACGAUACGGAAGGCCUGCCGUUCAUGAAGCAUGGUUGUGUCUUCAGUGCGCACCGCCGGAUGAACGUCAUGCUGGGACACGCUAUCCCUGAUUUAUGCCGCUUCAGCCUGGAUGAGUCUCCAUCGUGUGGAACCGGACUAGAAAGUUGCGACAAUGAUUCCCGUUGCCCACCGCUAUGGAUCAUGCCAUCCAUGAAGAACACCUGGGACUGGAACCUGGAGGAGGACAUGUAGCCCAUCUAUAACGUGUAAGUGGAGUAUGGUAAUUGUGAACGGUAGCGCUGUGAAUAUAUGUAGACUAGUCGUGCACAAAUUUAUCACAUGAAUUGGAGAUGAACUUGUGUGGCAUACUGGCAUUUGUCCUUUAGAAUUUAUUACUAGUAAAUGUGUUAUGUGUACGUGCAACUUGUGUGGUUGUUGCACGGGCUCCAACACGCUCUUUGAGAAAAAAAAGGUGGCACAGCUUUGGAUAUACGUGACAUGGCGGCAUCAUACAGUAGCAUCGUUCGCUAUAGUUGUAGUACACUCCUACUAGGACGACAACUCCUAUAAAACCUUGCGCUUGGCUCUUUGCCUCUUCGGGAGGUUCAACAGUUCGUACUCGUGUGAACCUUGCACUUGGCUCUUCGCCUCUUCGGAAGGUCCAACAAUGAUGAUACUACAGUACAAUAUGCUUCUGGCAAUCUGACACCGAUUGAACUGCUGCACGUCCACCGCGAGGGCGAGGGAGAGGGAGAGGGAGAGGGAGAGGGCGCUGUAGUCAAAACCCUCUCCUCGUCCUACGAACCACCGCGCGCGUCGGCGAGGGAGAGGCAUAGUAAGCAAGCUUCUCCUCGUUCGGCGAGUUGACGGGACACAUCAAAGCAGUACUAGUACUAGUAGUAGUAGUCCAUACUGCGUCCUUUCCGAUUAAUAUGGCUUAAUUUGAAAUGAGAAAAAUACACUGGCGGUCAACAUAUGUAACAAUACGCUCUUUACGGUCACUACAUAUAGUUUUGCGGCGAUUAUACGAUCACUAGCUCAUCGUAGAGCACCGUAUUGCACCCUAUUGACCUGCCACAUAGUCGACAUGGCACUUUGUUGACUGGUUAAAUUGUCACCUGGUUUCUGGGACCCACCUGUCAGUUGGCAGAGCAAAGAAAUCAGUUAAACAAAACUUUACGCAGGCGCGACAAGAGCCCAACCCUUGUGCACGAACCGUCCUAGCUGUGUAUGUGAGUGCAUGCACGUGUCCUCCCUCGGUCUUCCAACAAAGAGUGUACAUCGGCUAUAAAACAAAGAGUGUAGUACAUGAUGUACAUCUACACUUCCAAUGCAUUUAGCCUUUAAUCUAAAUCGAUAUUGAUUGACUAAUGCACCAACUUGUGCUGUAGGUAUACGCUACAUGUCUAUCCUUAAUUACAGCAUGCAACGGCCUUCAUUUAAUCUUCUUAUCUCAAUGGUCGCAUGCACACAUAAGUCUACUACUUUUGGGCGUUAAUUAUGCCCUGGUCAAUGUGUAAAUCUCUAAAUGUACUUGAGCGUGAGCGUGUGUGUUGCGUCGUGUGCUGUGUGCCGCAUGGGUGCGUGAGUGUUGCGUGCGUCCAUGUGUACGUGUGAGUGUUGCAUGUUGCAUGCAUGCAUGGGGCUUACUACCUCCCAUUGACAUGUUCAUAUUUCAAGCUUCCUCUGUUCCCUCCAUAUGGUGAUACUCCCUCUGUUCCCAAAGAGUACGGAGUAAAAGCCUCCCUCUGUUCCUAAAUACGGAGUAUUUGUCUUUCUACAUAUUUCAACAAGUGACUAGGUACGGAACAAAAUGAGUGCAGUGAGCAUAGAGGCAUAGGGAUACUGUAGAAAGGAAGUCCUCGCAAUCCAUUAUUCCCCAUCUCGGUCAGAGAGAACUAUUCAACUAGUCUUCGCAGUGAAGUGACAAUACACGCUGCAGCAGAUGGGACACGUAAUUAAUAAGCUGAACCAGCGUGUUGGUGUUACUAAAUCAGCCUUACCCAGUACUGCCAUCAUGUUUGCCAGUAGAGCACGCUUCCGCAAAUACGCCUACGCACCUCUGUCCUCCAUUAACUGACAUAUGUCCCCUGUUGUGGUAGACCCACAUGUCAUCGGUGUAACUAUUUACACUCCGAAGGACGGUAUAUCCUGGUAGUAGUACUAGUAGAAUUGAGAUUGAAUGCACUUUCUUCCCCGUCUUCCACUCUUCUUCCUCCUCUCUUCUUCUUCCUCCUCUCUUCCCCAUCGUCGGCCAGACACCAUUUACCCCCGCUCACUGCUCGCCCGCCCGCGCCAUCUUCCUUGGUAGCUCGCGCGUACCAUAUCCUCCCGCUCACUGCUCGGCCACACGAGGAGAAGCUUCUUUGCUCGCCCGCCCGAAUCCACUUCCCCGCUGGCUCGCAGGCACCGAAAACCCCAAUGGCAGAACCGACUGACACGCAGAGCCGCGAUUGGAAUUCCCUCCCCGAUGUUCUCUUGGAGCAGAUCUGUAGUCGUAUGGACCUACUCAGCACCGUCCGUCUGGCCGCAUGCUCGGUGUCUUUGUACCAUCUACUCGUCUGCAACCGGCCGGCUCUUUUCAAGACACCCUGCUUGCUGAUGCCCGAUCCUCGCAGGUGGCCCAAACACCGACUUGAUGAUCCUACGGAGGUUGUCGUGGUUCCCCUCGACAUGCUACCACUACCCGUCCACCUGUCCUUCAUGCGCGGCCACUACUGGGCGGGCAUGAAGGCCAACUGGAUCGUCCUCAUCCACCACACCGGUAGUCCGUGGCGUCUCGUGGAUAUCUACACCCAGCGAGAGAUCACCCUUCCAUCAUUGGAUACCGCCGCCAUCGAGCCUCGUGGCCCGCCGGACACUCCUGCCUACUACGCACGAGACGCGUCAAGCUUUUGGCUCGACCUCUGUUUGCAGAAAGUUGUAAUCUGCGAAGUGCCCACACCAUCAGAAGACUACAUGGAUUACAAGCUCAUUGCCUUGUUCAACAUGGGAUUAGUCUAUCUGGAAUCCGGUUGCCAUACAUGGUUAUGGCUCAUCAUCAAUCCUGUUGAGGCAACAUUUCUGUCUGAUGCUAUAGUGCACGAUGGCAUCGUUUACGCGGUCGACGCACAGAUUGGCUGCCUAUACUGGUGGAAUCUAUCGUCGUGUAAUUGUUCUAUCUCAUCUCAUCUUUACCUUAUGAAUACAACUGCCUGUUCAUUUGUUACAAAUUUAGAAUGCAUAGCAUGUCUAUAACCACAUCAUUGCUAUAUGUUCCUCUCAUUUCCUAGAUUUUUAUGACCACACAUGUUAUUGUUAGAGUUGAUAUGAGAACAAUUGGCAUCUAAUGAUUGUUAGAAUACAUAUUAUGAGCAUAACAUCAUGAUUGCUAUAUGUUACUCUCGUUUACAAGAUUUUUAUAACAACGCAUGUUAUUGCUUAGAGUUGAUAUGAGAACAGUAGUAGUAAGUGCUAUGGUAGAAUAUGAGUAGGCGUUGUCAUAGCGGUUUUCCUCUCAUUGUUAUAUGAUGUUUGAACCAUGACAUAUUGCUUGAAUAUGAAAGCCAUUGGCUUAUUUUUUUAACUUGGGGUAUGAUUAUGACCACGGCAUUGCAAUUCUCUGUCUAUGGUAUGUGUCGCUGUUAUAAUAAUCUUAAUUCCACACAUACUCUGAACAUGAUUGUUCUUUUUUGUCCUUUUGGUCUCCAAUUUGAAUUGUUGCAGCAGACGCAAAUGCGCUGGCCUUCAUGAUUCCAGGACCUGGAAUCAUACCAGCCGAUGGGUGGUGGUUUAUCGCUCGUUCAGCUGACGGCGGUCAUUUGAUGCUCAUUCGCACGUACCAAAUUGACCAAACCAUUACAUCAAACCACAUGCAGUACAAUGCGUGGGGCGUUCGUGACAUUGAUGGCUAUGGCUGCUUCGUGUUCGAGAAAGAUCCCAGCUCCGUUGGGCCAGGCGUAUUCAACUGGAGGCGGGUUUACAGCCUCCGCAACCACUCCUUUUUCCUCGGGCUCAAUUAUCCGAUCAUCCAACCAAUCAUCGAUCGUAUCACCGGUGAUGAUUACUGUGCUAUGCAACUUCCAUUCGCGAGGGGGGGGCUGUGUUUACACAUCAUACCAUGGGUUUCAUGAAUCACCAUAUCCAGAGAUUCGUCGACACAGCUUGUUGCCAGAUAAUCUUCAGUGUGUGAAAGGCAUCAAGCUUCCAUGCGAUGGAUGGCUUUUGCAAACCCGACAUGCGGCGAUGUGGUUCAUGCCAACAGCAAAUAUGCACAACUUGAUUCGUGCUGAUAUCUAGACUGAGCCAUGUAUUCUGCUGCUGUAGCACGACCCUCUUUUGUUGGAUAUUAUGUACUGUUGUUAGUUUGAAGCACUCCUCUGGUUUGAAGGAUAGAUUUUUUCCUGGGAUCAAGUGCAUCCUAACUCACCUGCGUAGGAUGUAUUAUAUAUAUAUAUAUAUAUAUAUAUAUCAGUUAGGCUUCAAGUGCGUACUUGUUAGUUAAACCUAUGUAUAAAUUGUGACACUAAAUACGACUAGUAAGUAGUACAAUAGCAGUACUAGUAUACGUCGGUCAAAUUAUUCAUCAUGUCCACACAUUGAAUUGACGUGACAACACGCUGCGCGUGAGGUGACACAAGAAUCCCGGCGACGUGUUCAGGUAUUCUGGAUUUCAGAUUUGGAGUACCACUUAUCUGUUGAAAUCUUUCAUCAUUCACUUAAAACAGUCGAUUGAUCAUACAUUGAGUACGAUAUAACUGGAAUUACCGAUGCAAGUCGAAGAAGGAUUGGCCGGUGCUGCCGGCUGGCGUCAAGUUCGAUCCCACGGAUCAGGAGUUGAUCGAGCACCUUGAGGCCAAAGUGAGUGCUGACAGCGCGAGAUUUCAGUCUCUCAUCGAUUUGUUCAUACCAACCAUCGACAGCGAGCACGGCAUAUGCUACACCCAACCUGAGAAACUUCCAGGUAAGACACCGAUCGGCCGUCUACUUGCACAAACAUAUUCCUUUGUUUAUAGCUCUAUUUUUCUUUUUAGACGCAGACCUGGUGAAGCAAUUACAAUUUGACAGUUAAUAAAAAGUGAAACAAGUGACUGCAACAUGCCAAAGAUGUUAUGAAAAUGCCAACUAGGUACAUUGAAACCUGUAUUCCACAAUACUGCAGGUAUCACACUGAGUGGCCUAAGGAAGCAUUUCUUCCAGCGCAAUUCCAGGGCGUUCAAAAGGGGCACGUGGACGCGUCGCAAGAUACAGUCGGAGUGCGGCAUGCACGCGAUGUGGCACAAGACCGGCAAUACCUUGCCGGUGAUGGUCAACGGCCGGCAAGACGGGCAGCAAAAAAGGUUCUGGUGCUGCACACCAACAAGAACUUCGACCAGCAGAGGACCAACUGGCUAAUGCACCAGUAUCACCUCGGGACCUAGAGCAAGAGAAGGAGCGGGAGCUGGUCCUCUGCAAGAUUUUCUACCAGACGAACACUAGGGCCAGGAGUAAAAAGAUUAUAAGUUAGUUUGGUAUUGGUAGUUGUACUACCUUGUCGUCCGCAAGUUGGUAUUGUUGUUAACGAUCUUUUGGUAUGAACUUGCAUUUGCUUCCAACCAUCAUGCCGAGGGUCGACGUCGAUAUAAAGCUGAAUCGUUUGUUUCGAAAUGAAUUUUCAGGCACCUGAUUUUUAUUUGAUGGGUAGCAUAAGCACCCGCCGUUCGAAUUCCCAGUUCUCAAAUUUUUCCGAAACAAGUGCAUGCACUUAUUAUCACGAUAAAAAAAAUAUCCGUGCUGCAUCCCAGUUAUCAGUCUGUACUUGCAGAAUUCUCUCGUUUAUUGAGCACGUAUAUUGUUUUUUCAGGUCGAGCAAGUUUCAACUGGGUUGUAGACUGCCCAGGGUUGGUUUUGUUUUUAACAGGCCCAGCCCAUGACGACAACGGGGCACAAAGAUCCAGCAGGUAUCUACUGGCCUCUGGCCCGCCAGCGUUAGUUAUAUUUUGUCUUACAACAUCCGCAGGCAGUUUUUUUUACUGAAUCAAACACAUAGCCCAGUUCUAUUUUCCUCUUGAAACGCAUGUCCUACAUCCGUUUUCUGAUCUCUGCCUAUAGUUUUACUAGUUCAUAUACACGUAUCAUUAUAUUGAAAACACAUAAAAUUCCCUUUUCAUAUUUACAUCCUUAUUUUUGUUGUUUUUUCCCACCCAGCGCUGAUUUUUUUACCACUGGUUUCCCCUUAAACCAACUCAAUUGUCCCACGUCUUAUUUGCUUACAAAAACAAAACGAUUUUUUUGGCAAAUCAAUAAGUUCUUAAAAAAAAUGUUUAUCAUUUCGGGAUUACAACAGUUCGGACUCCACCGAAAUAUGCAAAAUAAGGUUGAACUUUUUGACCGUGGUCCUGGGCAGAAAAUGGGCUGUAAUAAAUUACUUAAGAAUUAGCAAAUGGGCUACAAAUUAUAAAAAAUAGAAAAUGGGCUUUAUGUUGUCUGCCAUAGAUUUGGAGGCUGACUUGUGGGCCUACUAAGUGCAUGCGUACACAAGGUUUCUCAAAAAAGAAACUUAGUCAACAAUCGACUCUACCAGCGUCAGACCGUUAGAUGUCAAUCUAACGGCAAUCGUGCUUCUUCAGUCUCUGAUCUUCCUGUCCCAGCCGCCCAAACCAGCGCCGUCGGAACCCCUGCUCCCGCCUCCCGUGGCCGGCAGUGCUGCCGGGCAGGCCUCACGGCCCCAUCAUACUCGCAUCCCUGGCCUAUCUAUCCCUCUACUCACCCACACCUCCUGUUAUUUUCCGGCGACGACAGCCGAACCAGUCAACCCUCGUACUCUCCACCGCGUGGGCAGCCAUUGCCGUGUCUUCCCCGGCUCCGUGUCGUUCCCUUCGUAGGCCUCGCCAUCGUCCACCGCCCUGGUGCUCUCGGCGCAGCGUGGUCAACGAUGUCCAUCCAACGGCCGUAGUGCUUCUUCAACCUCUGGUCUUCUUGCCCCAGCUGCCCAAAGCAGUGCCGGUCGUGCCGCAUGCUCCUGCCUCCCGUGGCCCGGUGUGCUGCCGCGGAGGCCUCACCGUCCCCAUACUACUCCCACCGCUGGACAGGCCAUCCCUCCACUCACCCACUCCCCCUGUUAUUCUGCGGCGACGGCAGCCUCACACCGCAGCCGAACCAGUGAACCCUCGUACUCCUCUCUGCGUGGGCAUCCACUGCCGCGUCUUCCCCGGCUCCGCGUCGUCCCCUUCCUAGGCCUCGCCGUCGUCCACCGUCGUGGUGCUCUCGGCGCGGCGUGGUCAAUGUGAUCAACGACGACUUCCAUCGGAAGAGUACUGUACGUGGAGAGGCUGACAGCUGGGUCCACGGCAGCCGCAAGGAAGUGCCUCCUUAUUACGCACAAAAUAAUUAUUCCUCCACCUAACAGCAGGGACCCACCGGACGGGCCACCAGUAUUUCGCGGAAAAAACGUUUCCCACCUGACUGCUGGGCCCCACCGGACGGGCCACCGUAUUUUCCGAAAAAAACGUUUGCCCCUGACUGCUGGGACCCACCGGAUGGACCACCGUAUUUCGCGAAAAAAAACGUUCCCCCUGCUGUCAGCUUGGACCCACCGGAAGUGCCUCCUUAUUACGCAUAGAAAAAUGAAUACUCCCCCUGCUAGCUGGGACCCACCAUGGUGGGAGGCUGACUUGUGGGCCUACUAAGUUGACGGGGACGGAGGGCUUUGUCAACUUAGUCAAUAUGAACGAUUCUAGCUCCAGUCACCGUACGAUGUCCAUCCAACGGCCGUAGUGCUUCAUCAACCUCUGGUCUUCUUACUCCAGCCGCCCAAAGCAGCGCCGGUCGUGCCGCAUGCUCCUGCCUCCCGUGGCCGGCUGUGCUGCCACGGAGGCCUCACCGCCCCCUACUAUUCCCACCGCUGGCCAGGCCCUGCGGCGACGGCAGCCUCACACCGCAGCCGAACCAGUGAACCCUCGUACUCCUCUCCGCGCGGGCUUCCACUGCCGCGUCUUCCCCGGCUCCGCGUUGUCCCCUUCCUAGGCCUCGCUGUCGUCCACCGCCGUGGUGCUCUCCGCGCGGCGUGGUCAACGUGGUCAAGGAACGACUUCCAUCGGAAGAGUACUGUACGUGGAGAGGCUGACAGCUGGGUCCACGGCCACAGCCCAGUUUUUUUGUGAUUUGCCAAGUAAGUCGCUUUGUCAGGCCUGUUGGGCUGCAAAUCUUUCAAGACGAGGAGAGCUUUCAUUCGGCUGGCCGAGAAAAUGGCCCAUCAGUAAUGAGAAAUGGGCUGUACAUUUUUAAAACACAUCAAACCGGCAAUUAGUUUCAAAUAUCUUUUUUUUCAUUUUGAGAUUUUAAAUUACAUUAAUUUUUAUGCGUGGAGAAUUUGUUAGAUUUUAUAUUGAUAUACAUUUAUUUUUAAAAUCAGUUUGAAUGUGAGUCGAAAUUUCGGGAUUAAAAACAGUUCGGACCGCACCGAAAUAUGCAAAAUUUUGUAUAAUUUUUUAACCGUGGCCACAAUAUGGGCUAUAAUGCUAACAAAAAGAAUAUGGGUUCCAAAAAAAACCUUAAUAAUUAGCAAAUGGGCUGUAAAUUAUUAGAAAUAAUGGCAGAUGGGUUGUAUGCUGUUUUCCACAGAUUUGAGGCUUUCCUAAAAAAAGGUUGACGCACAAGCAGUGACUAUUGGAUGGCCAUCCAACAGCCGUCGUGCUUCUUCAAUCUCUGCUCUUCCUGCUCCAGCCGCUCAAACAAGCGCCGGCGGGACUGCCUGCUCCCUCCUCCCUGCGACUGGCUCUGCUGCUGCGCAGGCCUCACCGCCCCACCGUACUCCCAUCGCUGGCCUAGCCAUCCCUCAACUCACCCACACCUGCUGUUAUUCUUCGGCGACGGCAGACGAACCAGUAAACCCUCGUACAGUCGUACUCCCCUCCGCGUGGGAAACAACUGCCAAGUCUUCCCUGCCUCCGUGUCAUUCCCUUCCUAGGCCUCGCCGUCGUCCACCGCCCUGGUGCUCUCGGCGCGGCCUGGUCAACAUGGUCAAUGACCGACAUGCAUCUGAAGUGGACUGUACGUGGAGAGGCCGACAGCUGGGUCCACGGCCGCACGCAAGGAAAUGCCUCCUUAAUACGCGCAAAAUAAUGAUUCCUCCACCUGACAUCAGGGACCCACCGAAAAGGGCCUCUGUAUUUCGCGAAAAAACGUUACCGCCGCUGACAGCUCGGACCCACCAGCUAUAUCUUUGCACGCAAGGAAGUGCCUCCUUAUUAUGCACACAAAAAAUGAAUACUCCCCCUAUUAGCUAGGACCCAGUAUAGUGGCAGGCUGACUUGUGGGCCUACUAAGUUGACGGGGACGGAGGGCUUUGUCAACUUAGUCAAUAUGCACGAUUCUAGCUCCAGUGACCGUACGAUGUCCAUCCAACGGCCGUAGUGCUUCUUCAACCUCCGGUCUUCUUGCUCCAGCCGCCCAAACUAGCGUCGGUCGUGCCUCGUGCUCCUGCCUCCCGUGGCCGGCUGCGAUGCGGCGGAGGCCUCAAUGCCCCUACUACUCCCACCGCUGGCCAGGCCAUCUCUCUACUCACCCACACCCCCUGUUAUUCUGCGGCGACGGCAGCCUCACACCGCAGCGAACCAGUGAACCCUCGUACUCCUCUACGCGUGGGCAUCCACAGCCGCGUCUUCCCCGGCUCCGCGUCAUCCCCUUCCUAGGCCUCGCCGUCGUCCACCGCCCUGGUGCUCUCGGCGCGGCGUGGUCAACGUGGUCAAGGAACGGCUUCCAUCGGACGUGGACUGUACGUGGAGAGGUUGACAGCUGGGUCCACGGCCGCAGCAAGGAAGUGCCUCCUUAUUACGUGCAAAAUAAUUAUUCCUCCACCUGACAGCGGGGACCCACCAGAUGGGCCACCGUAUUUCACGAAAAAAAACGUUUCCUCCUGACUGCUGGGACCCACCAACUACACCUUCGCACGCAAGGAAGUGCGUCCGGGCAAAAAAACAAAACGAUUCGCCCCCCUGACUGUUGGGACCCACCAGCUACAUCUUCGCACGGAAGGAAGUGCCUGACAGUCGGGACCCACCUGGUCGAAGCGUACGUAGCAUUGUCAUUCUGGUCGCGAACGUGUACGUACAUAUAUACUGAUGGAUGUAGAGGCGUGUACGUGUCGUAGUAGAGGCGCGCACGUAGCAUGUACACGUACAUACAGCGGCUAGGGUGCAAGAAAGAAAAUACGGCCACGUAUGUGUACAUACGGGCGGGGUCUCGAACGCCUACUCGCGCAUACGUACGGCCAGGGCUCGUGUACAUGGCUGGGUCGGAACGGAGAAACAGCGUCGUCGUCAUGUUCAUGGGAAGGCUACGGAAUGCGUCGUGUUCAUCAGGAGGCAACGGAACGCGUGGGAGCCAACCGGCUGGGUCGGAACGGAAUGCGUGGUCGUGUUCAUCGGGAGGGCUUGGACGGAACAGGCGAUGGAAACUAGGCCUGGCGUACCGCAGAACGGAGGAAACGGACCUCCUACGGUCGAAACGGGGGUCCUGUUGAUCGGGAGGGGUGUGGCGUACCGCAAAACGGAGGAAACAGACCUCCUACGAUCGAAACGGGGGUCCUGUUGAUCGGGAGGGGUGUGGCGUACCGCAAAACGGACGAAACAGACCUCCUACGGUCGAAACGGGGGUCCUGUUCAUCGGGAGGGGUGUGGCGUACCGCAAAACGGGACUCCACGAGAUACUGUUCAUCUCCACCGUCGACCUCCUCCAGCCUCCACGGGCUACCGUCGACCUCCUCCAGCCUCCACGGGCUCCUGUUCAUCCAGCCUCCACCNNNNNNNNNNNNNNNNNNNNNNNNNNNNNNNNNNNNNNNNNNNNNNNNNNNNNNNNNNNNNNNNNNNNNNNNNNNNNNNNNNNNNNNNNNNNNNNNNNNNNNNNNNNNNNNNNNNNNNNNNNNNNNNNNNNNNNNNNNNNNNNNNNNNNNNNNNNNNNNNNNNNNNNNNNNNNNNNNNNNNNNNNNNNNNNNNNNNNNNNNNNNNNNNNNNNNNNNNNNNNNNNNNNNNNNNNNNNNNNNNNNNNNNNNNNNNNNNNNNNNNNNNNNNNNNNNNNNNNNNNNNNNNNNNNNNNNNNNNNNNNNNNNNNNNNNNNNNNNNNNNNNNNNNNNNNNNNNNNNNNNNNNNNNNNNNNNNNNNNNNNNNNNNNNNNNNNNNNNNNNNNNNNNNNNNNNNNNNNNNNNNNNNNNNNNNNNNNNNNNNNNNNNNNNNNNNNNNNNNNGUUCAGUAACGCGUAGCCUGCAGUGCAAUCGCUCGGGUUCAGUUAGAGCCCAACGCCUCGCUCGGGUUCAGUUAGAGCCAACGCCUCGCACACACGCGCGUACGUGUACGAGAGAAACGCGCAUCGCUCGGCCCCCGACCUCCCACCGUAACCGGGAACUCCCCGAAAUUUUCCUCGCCCUCGCUUCUACCAUGGUUUUUUCCGUCAUGGACGGCCCAAAGAAUGUCAUGCAGCUGUGUCUUCGGCCCGCCCUGGACGAAAAGCCCAUUUUCUGUCAUGAUUUUUUGUCAUAGAAGUAGGAGCCCACCACAUCUAUGAUGAUACCGGGUUUUGUCACAAUUAUCGUCAUAGAAGUGUCAUAUGUAUGACAAAAAAAAAUUCAUUCGGCCCAAAAUGUCACAGAUGUGUCUUUUUUUGUAGUGUAGGCCCGGUGCCUGGCAACAGUUCUAUCAAAAACUCGAUGUCUCGAUCUGGCGGCAUUCCUGGUAAUUCCUCUGGAAAUACAUACGGGUAAUCCUUUACGACAGGCACUUCCUCCUGAACAACUCCUGAGAGGGAAUUCACUUGGCUCCUCCUAGGCGCGUGCCUAGAUACAUACUUGAUCCUUUUUCCCUCCGGGGUGGUGAGAUAAAUCGACUUACUAGCACAGUCAAUGCUUCCUCCAUACUUUGACAUCCAGUCCAUGCCUAAUAUCACAUCCAAUCCUUGUGACUCCAAAAUUAUUAGGUCGGACGGAAAAACAUGGCUACCAAUGGUUAAGGGUAUCCGGUCGCACCAUCGGCUAGCCAUAUACUCUGCUCCAGGUGAACUUACUAACAGAGGGGUCCUAAGGGCUUGGGUUGGUAGUUUAAACUUAUCCACGAAUCCCCUUGAUAUGUAUGAAUGUGAUGCACCAGUAUCAAAAAGAACAAGGGCGGUAAAAGACUUAACCAAAAACGUACCGAUAACCGCGUCUGGCUGCUCUUCAACCUCCUCCAUGUUAACGUGGAUCACUUGUCCUUUGUUGAAUGGAUUGGGCUUCUUCCCAGCGCUCCCAUUACCGUUUCCAUUCUUCGCUUCAGGGCACUCCGUGGCAUAGUGUCCAGUCUUCCCACACUUGAAGCAAGUAAUGUGACUUAGGUCUCUCUUGGCGGGUGUGGCUGGAUUGGAGCGAUUCUGAUUGUUGCUUGUUUCGUUCCCAGUCCCAUUCUUAGAACCAUUAUGGUUAUGCCAACUUCCUCCGGUGUGGUUAUGACCUCCAUGGUUAUGAACAAGUCCUCCCGAGUUCGGGGUUAGACGGGGCUUAUGCUGAGCUCCAGAAUUGUAUCUUCCUUGCCCAUACUUCCUCUUACGGCUCUCAAUCUGCUGCUGCUUCCCUUCAAUCAUAAGAGCCUUAUCUACCAACUCCUGGUAGUUGUUGAAUGUUGCCACCAUCAACUGCAUGCUCAUCUCGUCAUUCAGCCCUUCCAUAAAUUUCUCCUGCUUCGCAGCAUCUGUGGCCACAUCAUCAGGGGCAUAGCGAGAUAACUUGCUAAACUCAUCCACGUACUGAGCUACAGUACGGUUUCCCUGCCGUAAGUUGCGAAACUCACGCUUCUUCAUGUUCAUAGCUCCAGUUGAGACAUGGGUUGUGCGGAAAGCUUGCUGAAACUGAUCCCAAGUGACGUUGGCUAUGGGGAAAGUGGCCAUAUAAUUCUCCCACCAUGAGGCUGCUGGUCCAUCCAAUUGAUGUGCGGCAAAGCGCACCUUCUCAGCAUCUGUGCAACCUACGGUGAUCAAUUCCCUUCCAAUACGGUGUAGCCAAUCAUCAGCAACUAUAGGAUCGGUGCUACUGGAAAACACCGACGGCUGCAACCUCAGAAAGCGAGCUAAGUUGUGAACUGGAGGCGGGUUGUUGUUGUUGUUGUUGUUGUUGCCUUGGUUCCGGACUAACAAUUGCAUCAAGGCAUUCUGCUGCUGGAUCAACUGAGUGAGCUCUGGCGGGAAGGCAAAUCCGGUGUCACGUCUCGGAGGCAUCUGAUGGGUUUAGAGGGGAGAUAUUAGAAUAGAAUAGGGGUCUAGUGAGAGAACACUACCCAUAUGCACAUGGGAAAAACACAAUCAUAUCACUCAAUCAAUCAAACAAGGGCAUACAAACGGUCUAGAACUAUCGUUGAAAGUGCUCAAUUACUACUAUAUACAUGGGGGAACACUACUAAUCAUUUGGUGGUCAUCUAGAAAUUUUGAUCGGUAGAAGACUCCAUGAUGUCUGCUCCAGCUUCGUCUUCAAAGUCAUCUUCACUGGGGUCGGAGUCGGUGUCGUCGAUGAUGAUGUAGCUCUCCGGGCAAGUGGAAUCGCCAUCCUCUCCUCCUGGUGCGGGGUCUCCCAUGAAUACUCCGAUCUUCUUUAUCAGGUCGUCAUUCUUCUCCAAUAGUGUUGCAAUUUCCUCCUCGUAUCCAUCGCGUGUAGACUUGAGUUCUUCUUCCAGCUCGAUGAUCCUUGUCUUCGCCUUCUUCAAAUCUAUCACGUCUGCGCACAUCUGAUUCUCCUAGCGUCGAAUGUGUUGGUUUAACUCUGGAUGAAAGCUGCAAUGGAUCUAUCCUUCUUGGUGCUGAUCAUCUCCCAUUGCUCAUCUUAGCGACCACAUAUCUGGUAGAUAGUGUCCUUGAGCUCCUUGUUGUAGACUUCUCCAAUACGUCCCAUGGCAAUGUGGGCUGCCAUGCUCUUGCCCAGACUCCAGGUUGGUGCAUCAAAGGAAAACUCUAUGGGCUCAGUGAUUGGCGUGAACGUCCUUCCUGGAACUUGAACUCGAAUCAUCCAGCGCUCCUCUUCUGGUAAAGUGCCGUUGUAGGUCCCAGUGAAGCUUGGUAUUCCGAUGUUCAGGUACCUAGUGACUUCCUUCAAGUGGCGUCCAAAGGGUGCAUCUUCAUCCGGUUGUCCAAACUUGUUCCUCGAAUCCGCCAUCCUAAAGAGUAGAAAAUGGAGAGGAGUCAGAAAUGAGUAGAGAAGAGUGACCUAUGGUUUAUCUUAGUGGUCGUGUCCUACACUCAGUGUGUGCUCUGAUAGCAUCUUGUACCGACCCGACCUCAGACGGUCAAGUCUCUGUGCUUCCGUGUCAUCCCUGGAUCGGUAAUGCUGACACACACAGUACUCGAAGGAUUUAUAACAGAGUAGCAAUCACACACUUAUUACAUCGAAUGUCUCAAAAGAGAACUUAUUACAAUAAACAUGGCAUAAGGCCAUCUAAUACGAUAACAGCGGAAGGCUUGGAAGAUAAAGUGAGUCCAUCAACUCCAACGGCAUAGCUGAACUGCACGGCAACGACCUAACAAACCUUACUCCUCGUCUGAAAAGUCUGCAACAUAAUACGUUGCAGCCCAAAAACUGGUCAGCACAUGGAAUAUGCUGGCAAUAUAACACAGCAGAGCAAGAACAGAACAAAAGCUAUCACUACAUGCAUAUUUGGCUGGUGGAAAGCUCUAUGGUUAUAGUUUUGCGAAAAGCCAAUUUUUCCCUACAACAAAUCAAUGGAUUUUAUUUAACUAUCAUGGUAGUUGAAACAUCAUUUUUUUGAACCUUUUAACAGUAUGAGAACCUCCUACUGUUUUUGUAUUAAUAUGAUGGGGGUGACAAUUUACAUGAGGGCAUUACAUGAUGUCUUUACAACUCACCCUCCCUUUGGGAGGUGAGGGAGAACUCAAGAUAUAGAGGAGAGGAUGAGUGGAAUGAGAUGUUUAUGCUUUUCCUUAACCCCAUAGGUAAGGAGAGAAAAAUCAGUCUUAAGCCUAUCUAACCAUGAAGUCUUCGAGGGCAUCAUCCCCCUGAAGUGUUUGUUGUUACGUUCUUUCCAGAUACUCCAGGCGGCAGUCAGAAAUAGCUCCAUGAAGAGAGGCCUGUUCCAGUUGUUUUUGGCAAACACAACAUUUUGCAGGCGAGGUUGUCCCUGAUUCCACAGAAUUCCAAGGCCGGACUAGCAUUCAGUACUAAAUUGACACUCAAAGAAGAGGUGCUCCAGUGUUUCCUCGAUGUGUAGUCCACAUAAGAUGCAAUCAUAGUCAUUUCCUAUAUUGUAGUGCCUCCUUUUGAGCAUAUUCCGCGUGUUUAGUCGAUCAGAAAGGAGCAACCAUCCAAAGACUUUAAUUUUCAUGGUGGCUUUUGAUUUCCAGAUCCAGCCAAACGCCUCAUGAGCCCUAACUUCUCCGAAGUAGAAAGUGUAGUAUCUAUGAGCUGUGUAGCUUUCCGUGCCCCAAAUAUAUGUCCAAACAUCUGGCUCAUUGGAGAUAGCCGUUUCCCUCGUGUCCUCUUGCAGUUGACGCACCUCUGCAUGGGCCUGUGCCGAGAGAGGUAAAUGAAACGCCUUGCUCAGUGACGUGAUGGACAAGAAAUCCUUCACAGAGAUAUCUUCAUUGAUGGCGUAAGAGAGUGCACGCGGGUACUUCUCAUCAAAUGUGGUAUCAGUCCAUAAAUCUUUCCAGAAGAGCACAUUAGAUCCAUUAAUCACAUGAACGUUUGAGAUACCCCUAUAGGUUGGCAUUAGUUUGGCAACGUCUCGCCACCAGAAUGAUCCACAAGGGUCUGAAGCAUGCGGAAUUUGAUUCGUGUAGUAUGUUUCCCAGAUGAGUUCAACCCAAGGCACGUUCCAUCUAUUGUAGAAUUUAUGUAAAUACUUUAAUAAGAGUGCAUCACCUUGGAUCCUGAGAUCAAUCACUCCCAAUCCACCACUUUCCUUGGGAUGACAAACCAUUUCCCAAGAAGCAAGAGAAUUGCAUUUGUCCCCUUGCUCUGUUUUCUUUGUCCAUAGGCAUUUCCUUCUAAUUUUGUCUAGGAGCUCAAUAAUUUUGGUAGGCAAUCGAAGCGUGCAUAGCGCAAAGAUAAUGAGCGAAGUGAUCACCGAAUUAAGCAGGUUUAGCUUUCCACCAUAUGAAAUCAUGUUGAGAGUAGCCGUUAGUCUUCUCUCCAUGGAAUAGACCAGAGGCAUGAGAUCGAGGACAGUUGGUCGAGUAGUACCAAGUGGGAGCCCUAGGUAUGUGAAGGGCAUCUUGCCAACGACGCAUCCGAAGAUAUUAGCAAUCUCUUCGGAUUUAACAUUAUCACAAUUGAUUGGAAUGAGAGUAGAUUUGUGGAAGUUUCAAACCAAUGGACGUAGCAUAGUCUGUCAAAAUGUCCUUGAUAACGGUCGCAUGUUGUGUGCAUGUUGGUAACACUAGAAUGGUAUCAUCGGCGUACUGGAUGACUGGGUACUCUUUUUGAUGCGGAGAAGGGAAGGGCAGGUGUAUUUGAUGGCGUGCAAAGGCAUCGUUGAUGGCUGCUUGAAGGAGAUCCGCUGCUAGCAUGAAAAUGAGGGGUGAAAGAGGAUCCCCCUGCCUGACCCCACACUUGCAAAGAAAUUGGCGCCCAGGAGUACCAUUUAGGAGGACAGAGGAUUUUGCUGAAGAAAAGAUGCAGCGAAUCCAGGUGAGCCAUUUGUCAUUGAAUCCCAUGUUUUUCAUAAUCUCAAUCAUCACUUCAUGUUCAAUUGUGUCGAAGGCUUUGGCAAAGUCAAGCUUGAGAAGCAUGAUUUCUUUUUUAGAACUUUGGCAUUGAUAAAUAUACUCGUAUGCCCAUGCGAGGCAGUCCUGGAUAGUCCUCCCCUUUAGGAACCCAUAUUGGUUAUAGUUGAAACAUCAUUGAGAAGGUUCCUCCAACUCAAUCCCAAUUAAAAGUAAUUAUCAACCCAACAAUAUUAAAUUAAAGUGAUGAGAUACUUAGGAUAAUCCAAGUACUAGAUACUCAAGAUGUCCAUAACCGGGGACACGGCUAAUCAUGAUUAGAUUGUACACUCUGCAGAGGUUUGCGCACUUUUCCCCACAAGACUCGAUCUCCUCCGUUGGAUUUCUCGCACUACAUGGUGUUUGAGAAACGGAUGACCGAGACACAGUCUUUCAGAAGCAUUAACUCUAACCCCGGGUAGACAGUACCAACCUACAUCCCUCUACAUCUGCUAGCCUACCACUUGAAGAGGUCAUGACACUUACUCAACUAUGCUAGAGCCCAUAAUGGCUUGUGGCUGCACACGGAAGUUUCUAGAAUGAAAUAUCUCAGUUCCCUUUGAGCCUGGGUGGCGGACCUUAGGAUGAUCACACGGGUCCUCCGGGAUAUCCUAGGACAACACUGGAUUCUCCAGGUGCCCGACAAGCAAUCCACCCAGAUGUGUAUUAAAGUUGCCACCUUAAGUUGAACCAUUAAUUAACAAACUCACAUCUGUCAUGGAUUCACUCACCCAAACCACGUCUACGAGCAUAGCAUAGCAAUAUAAGCAUUACGUAGAAGUAACUCCCAAGGGGAUUUAUAAUAACAGGGCAAUAGGUUCUACCUCAUCAACUACUUCCCAAUACCCACAAGUUAAUCACAUCCUAUUCAUGCAGUGUUUGAGGAUUGGAGCUAAUGCAUAAAAACUGGGUAUGAAAAGAGUAUGAUCAAUGUGUUACUUGCCUUGCUGACGAUCCGCAAAACCUAGGGACUCGUAGUAGCACGCUUCGCACUCCGGGAAUUCUAUCGCAAACAAACAAUAGCAUACAUAAGAAAUCAAUCAUAGAUGCACGGGCAAAACUCAAAUAAGAAGAAUUGACCAAAAAGUUCAACUUAAGAACUCCGGUUUGCAAAAAGAAUCAAAUCAAACGGAGCAACGAAACUCAAACUUCGAAAGAAACAAGAUCCGAUUACUAAUCUGGACUAAAGUCAAAUUUUAUAGUACCAUAAUCUUGUUCAAGUUGGUUAAGCAGAAAGAGGGUUUCGAGACGAAGAUCUAGGCGCUUGAAUCCCCUGAUUCCGAUAAACGAGCGAAAAGAUAAACUAAAACGAAAAUCAGAUCAGAAAUCGCGAUCGAAAAUAAUCGCGAAAAACCCGAGAAAAGGAAAAACUGACGAACAGGCUAAUGAACGAACGUUCAUUGUCUGUGACUAAUGGGCAAAAACCAUUCGUUAAAACGAACGUACGGACGAACGUCCGCAAAAUAAACUAAACCGAGAAAACCGGCGAACCGAUCUAAAAAAACGAACUAGGUUUUUAAAAAAACCGACAGUUUUUACCUAAACCGAAAAAAACCGAGCGGCUCCGGAUCGGAUCGGCGGCGGCGGCUCCAGCGGCGCGAGGUGGGGCUGCGGGGUGGCGGCGACGAUGGGGUGGUGCGGCGCGGCGGCGGCGGCACAAGGCGAGGCGAGGCGCAGCAAGCGGCGGCGGGCGGCGGCUGCUGCUGCUGCUUGUGGAGGCGGUGGUCGCGAUUUGGGGCGGCGGCGGCGGGGUAUUUAAGAGGGGGAGGGGCGGGGUCAGCUUGGGGAAGGGAGCGGGAGGAGUCCCGGGCGGCGACGGCGGCGGCUGCCAAGUCCUGGCCGGACUCGGGCACGGGGAGGCGGUGGCGCGGGGUUGGGCCGGCCUGGCUCGGCUGGGCUUCGGCCCAGUCGGGCGCAUAAAAAUUUUUUAAACAGAUUCUGCUGAAAAUAAAUCAUAGAAAAAUAAAUAAAUAACUGAAAAUGAAAAAACAAAUUUUCACCGUCUAAAUAAAAUAGUUAGAACAAGAUGAACACUUUCUUGGCCCUAAAAUGCAAUUUUUCUAAUGCAAAUAAAAUAGCAAUAAAAUCCGAAUAAGAUCAAAUAUUUGGUUUUAAUAUUUUUCCUCCAAUAUUUCAUUUAUUUUGAAGAAGUCAUAUUAUCUCCUCUCAUAUAUUUUAAUAUGAAAUAUUUUUCGGAGAGAAAAAUAAUUAAAACAAAUAAUCCUUGUUUCAAUAUUUGAUAAAAAUCAAAUAUGAAAACAGUGAAAUCCCUAACUCUCUCCGAGGGUCCUUGAGUUGCUUAGAAUUUCGAGGAUCGCGAAACGAAAUGCAACAAAAAUAUGAUAUGCAUGAAUGAUCUAUGUAUAACAUUCCAAAUUGAAAAUUUGGGAUGUUACAUCUUUCUAUGUGUCCGGUUGAAACGUUUUGCUCAUGUGUAUGUGGUGAGUGUUAGCAGUCAUAGAAGACUAUAUGAUGGUUGAGUAUGUGGAGCUCUUACUUAGACUCUGUUGAAUAAGUUGAAUUGCAAUUGCUUGGUGACUAAGAACAUAGGUUGUUGAGUAUCAAGAGAGUUCAUUGUUUGGACCUUAACAUGUGAAUUCGUUGCUACUAUAACAUGAGAAGUUUUAUAAGAAAGAAUUGAUGUUAUGAUGCUAGGAAAAGUGAUUAAAUUUAUCAUUGAUCAAACUUAUGUACUUUGCUAGCAUUCACACUUCAUAAAUUAUUUCUUUUAUCAUUUACCUACUCGAGGACAAGUAGGAAUUAAGCUUGGGGAUGCUGAUACGUCUCCAACGUAUCUAUAAUUUAUGAAUUAUUCAUGUUGUUAUUUUAUCAUCCUUGGAUCUUUUACAAUCAUUUUAUAGCAACUUUAUAUCAUUUUUUGGGACUAACCUAUUGACCCAGUGCCCAGUGCCAGUUUGUUGUCUUUGCUUGUUUAUUACAUCGCAGGAAAUCAAUACCAAAUGGAGUCCAAACGCAACGAAACUCCACGGAGAUUUUUUAUGGACCAGAAGGAAUCCAAUGGGCCAGAGUUGCACCUGGGGGUGCCCCGAGGGGGGCACAACCCACCAGGGCGCGCCAGGGCCCCCUAGCGCGCCCAGGUGGGUUGUUCCCACCUCGGUGGCCUCCCGCACCCCCUCUUUACCCUAUAAAUUCCCAAAAAUUCCAAAAACCCUCGGGGUUAACCUAGAUCAGAAGUCCCGCCGCCGCAGGGCUCCGUAGCCACUGAAAACCAAUCUAGACCCGUUCUGGCAUCCUGCCGGAGGGGAAUCAUCUCUGGUGGCCAUCUUCAUCAUCCCGGCGGCCACCAUGAUGAGGAGGGAGUAGUACACCCUCGGGGCUGAGGGUUUGUACCAGUAGCUAUGUGUUUAAUCUCUCUCUCUCGUGUUCUUGAGAUGUCAUGAUCUUGAUGUAUCGUGGGCUUUGUUAAUAUAGUCGGAUCAUAUGGUGUUUUCCCCUCUCUAUCUUGUUGUGAUGAAUUGAGUAUUUCCCUUUGAGAUUUCGUUGUUAUCGGAUUGAAUACUUUUAUGGAUUUGAGAACACUUGAUAUAUGUCUUGCAAUUGAAUACUCGUGGUGACAAUGGGGUAACGUAUUGAUUCACAUGAUAUAUGUUCUGGCACUCAACUCGCAGAUUCCCGAGGUGACAUUGGGAUAAUCUAUGCAUAGGGGUUGAUGCACGUUCUUGUCUUUGUUUCUCCGGUAGAAAUCUUGGGGCACUCUUUGAAGUUCUUUGUGUUGGAUUGAGUAUUAUGAAUGUGGAUUUGCUUUGAUGUUAUUUUAGUACGAACUCUAGGAUAGAUUGAACGGAAAGAAUAGCUUUGUGUUAUUUUAGUACGAACUCUUGAAUAGAUCGAACGGAAAGAAUAGCUUUGAGGUGGUUUCGUACCCUACAAACAAUUUAUUCUUAUGUUCUCUGCUAGAUAGGAACUUUGGAGUGAUUCUCCGUCGCACUUUGAGGGGUGUUUAUAUGAUCCAAUUAUAUUAGCAUUGUUGAGAAAUUGCACUAGCGAAAGUACGGACCCUAGGCCUCAUUUUCAAGCAUUGCAAUACCGUUUUUGUGCCUGUUUACUAUUUGCUACCUUGCUGUUUUCAUUUAUUCAGAUUAUAGAAAUAUAUUUCUACCAUCCAUAUUACACUUUUAUCACCAUCUCUGCGCCGAACUAGUGCACCUAUACAAUUUGCCAUUGUAUUGGGUGUGUUGGGGACACAAGAGAUUUCUUGUAUUUGGUUGCAGGAUCAUUUGAGAGAGACUAUCUUCAUCCUACACCUCUCAGGGAUUGAUAAACCUUAGGUCAUCCACUUGACGGAAAAUUGCUACUGUCCUACAAAACUCUACGCUUGGAGGCCCAACACGUGUCUACAAGAAUAAAGUUGCGUAGUAGACAUCAACUUACUAGCCGAAGCCUUUGCAGCUGAAGAACUAACCACCCUACGAUCCACAGUGGACAAGGAUGAUGUGAUUCUCGACAAGAGAUCUAAAUGCACCUCUUUCAAGCUAGCAGAUGAAAUAGUUAAAUUCCAAGUGCACCCGGCGGAUCCUAAUAAAGCAGCGUCCAUCGGAGCAUAGCUGGAUCCGACGGUAGACGCCGCCUUAUGCGUGUUCCUACGUGAAAAUCGGGAUAUCUUUGCCUGGCACCCCUUAGACAUGCCCGGGAUCCCACAUAGGCUAGCCGAACACAGCCUCAACAUAAUCAAAGGGUUCAAACCAGUCAAGCAAACGCUGCGGCGAUUUUCCAAACCCAAACGAUAAGCUAUGGUGGAGGAGCUAGCCAAACUGCUCGAGGCCAGGUUCAUCAGAGAAAUCAAACACCCGGAUUGGUUAGCCAACUUGGUCAUGGUGCCGAAGAAGGAUCAAUCUUGGCGCCUUUGUGUCGAUUUCAAAGACCUCAAUAAGGCUUGCCCUAAAGCCCCUUUCCCAUUACCCCGUAUUGACCAGAUCAUUGAUGCGACCGUGGGACAUGACUCAUUGUGUUUCCUCGACGCUUACUCCGGAUACCAUCAGAUUAAAAUGAAGGAGUCUGAUCAGGCCGCAACAGCGUUCAUCACCCCGUAUGGGCCUUUCUGUUUCAACACUAUGCAUUUUGGGCUUAAAAACACUGGUGCCACUUACCAACAAAUGAUUCAAACAUGCUUGGAAAAACAAAUCGGCAACACAGUUGAAGAAUAUGUGGAUGACGUGGUCAUCGAGAAUAAACACGUCAAAUCACUGGUGGACGAUCUCUGCCUCACAUUUGACAACCUCCAAACAUAGGAAUCAAUCCGGAAAAAUGCAUGUUUGGCGUUCUAGCCGGAAAGCUAUUAGGGUUCAUUGUCUCCCAUAGAGGAAUUGAAGCAAACCGAGCUAAAAUCCGAGACUUGCCGCAAUUGGCCACACCAAUAGACUUAAAGCAGGUCCAAAAGCUAGCAGGGUGCGUGGCGGCUUUGAGCCGCUUUAGCUCCAGAUUAGGAGAAAAAGCAUUACCACUUUAUAGACUGCUUAGACGCACCGACAACUUUGAAUGGACGGAUGCGGCCACAGCCGGAUUGGAAGAAAUAAAAACCUUAUUAGCAGGCAACCCAAUCCUAACCUCCCCAAGUGUUGGCGAGCCUAUGUUGCUUUAUAUCUCCACAACUCAACAGGUAGUGAGCGAUGUACUCAUCGUCGAGCGAGGGGAAGAGGGACAUAAAUUCCCCAUCCAAAAGCCAGUGUAUUACGUAUUAGAGGUCCUUACACCAUGCAAAUCCUGAUACCCUCACUACCAGAAGAUAGCUUACGUGGUCUUUAUGGCAUCUUGAAAACUCCGACACUAUUUUCAAGAGUGUUCGAUCACGGUGGCAUCCGAAGUACCACUUAACAACAUUAUAAACAAUAGGGACACCACCGUUUGAAAUAACGUACAAGCCACGCCGAGCUAUUAAAUCACAGGUGCUGGCCGACUUCGUUGCCGAGUGGACGGAAGCCGAGCUCCCUAAAGAGUAUAGUUCAUACUCCAACUGCAUGUACUUCGACGACUCUAAAAUGCUAGCCGGACUGGGGGCUGGUGUCAUCUUGACAUCCCGGGGACACGGUCCGCUACGUGUUGCAAAUCAUGUAUACGGACUCCAAUAAUGCAGCUGAAUACGAGGCACUUCUACAUGGUCUCCGCAUGGCUGUCUCCAUGGGCAUACAACGCCUCGAGGUGCGCGGAGACUCAAUCCUUGCAAUAUCUCAGAUAAAUGGAGAGUUCGAUGCAAAAGAUCCAAAAAUGGUGGCACACUGAAACGCCGUAUUAAAAAUAUCGGCUCGGUUCGAGGGACUUGAAUUUCAUCACUUCGCUCGAGACAGUAACCAGGCAGCGGACAUACUCACUUGCACGGGCGCCAAGUGCGACCCCGUCCCGCCUAAUACCUUUGUGGAAAGGCUCUUCAGGCCAUCCGUGGUAUGGCAGGACGAGAGCGGAGAUGCUAGUACGGACCUGAUCAUGCCCCCGGCAGCCGAACAUAAUACAGAUAUCAUCGGGGGUCCGGUUACCGAAAUAACGCCUUCUGAUCAUGAGAUUCGGCCGUUAUUGCUCCUUGGACCGAACCCUUCCUGGCCUACCUUAAUAGGCAGGAGCUUCCCGAUGAUCAAAAUGAGGCCCGUCGCAUAGUUCGGCGUUCUAAAGCAUACAAAGUUCAUGAAGGUGAACUGUACAAGAAAAGCACUACCGGAGUUCUCCAAAUGUGCAUCUCCGAAGAGGAGGGACGACAACUCCUGGCUGAAAUACAUGCUGAUCUGGGCGGCCAUCACGCCGCAGCUCGGGCCCUCGUAAGCAAAGCCUUCCGGACAGGUUUUUUCUGGCCAAUGGCCCAAGCAGACGCACAGGCCCUUGUCCAACGUUGUGUGGGAUGUCAGCUUUUCGCCAAUCAAAGUCAUAUGCCUCCCACUGCCUUAAGAACAAUCCCCAUCACUUGGCCCUUCACGGUCUGGGGGCUGGAUAUGGUCGGACCCCUUAAAGGGGGAAGCCACAAAAAGAAAUAUUUACUGGUUAUGGUGGAUAAAUUCACUAAGUGGAUAGAGGCCAAACCAAUAAAAACGGCCGAAGCAGGAUCAGUGGUUGACUUUAUAUCCGGCGUGGCACACCGCUAUGGUGUCCUGCCCAGCAUCAUCACUGAUAAUGGCUCCAAUUUUACAGCUGAUGAGGUGAAAAACUGGUGUGCUAACUUGGGCAUUAAACUCGACUAUGCAUCCGUCUACCACCCUCAAACAAACGGUCAGGUUGAACGGGCCAAUGGCCAGAUAAUGAGCGGCAUUAAGCCCCGACUAGUGCGCUCCCUACGAGAGUCGGAUAAGCAAUGGGUUGAGGAACUCGAUUCCGUGCUCUGGGGGCUACGGACUACACCUAACCGAACAACCAGAUAUACACCUUUCUUCAUGGUGUACGGCGCGGACGCUGUCCUACCCUGCGACAUUAUUCAUGACUCACCUCGAGUGCGCAUGUACGAAGAGCGAGAAGCCGAGCUCGAUCGACAGGACGACCUAGACGGCCUCGAAGAGGAGCACGAUAUUGCACAAGCCCGUUCUGCAUUUUAUCAACAACAGGCCAGGUGAUACCAAAGCAGAGAAGUGCGGGCCAAGACAUAUAACAUUGGCGUCCUCAUCUUGCGUCUCCCAGAGAAGAAGAAGGAUAAGCUCAAACCAAGAUGGGAGGGCCACUUCAUCAUAGAUGAAGUUCUCACGGGAGGAUCCUAUCGCCUUCGUAAUGCAUCGGAUAAUCACCUUGAGCCGAAUCCAUGGAACGCUGCUCGGCUCCGACGAUUCUACGGAUAGUUCGGUAGCACCUUUUUUACUUUGACUAGGUUCCUUUUUCUCCUCUCCUUUUUUAUUUUUUCCUUUUUAUAUCCCAGGGUAUGUUCGGAUCUACCAAACUAUUAGGGGUACACAUCUUUAAAUGUAUACACCCCACUAUAACUGGGGCCUUCUUUGAUGAAGCUUAUUAUUAAAAGCUUGUGGCUUACAUUGUUUACGUCAUUUGUUCUAUACACUUUUUUGCCAUUAUAUGCACCUCUAUGACUUAAGUUUUUGCCAAGCUGGGUUGCCUUGCUCCUGUGUUUAUACCCUACGUUCCCUAUUGUUCGGCUAGAGUGUAAAGGGAGCACCUCUGCGAUUGUUACAACCGGGUAAUCUGGAUCUGUACCUCAGACGGGUGAAGCCAAAAGCUAGCGCUCUUAAGGGAAUAAUUGGUCGGCAAGCAACGAAAGAUUAUUUAUGUUUAUGUAAUUCUUCUAACAAAUAAGGGAUAGGCUACCCGUAAUUCUAUCUUUUGGAUCAAAGCCUAGGCAUGCAUAAUUAGGCAUGCCGACCCAAGGAAACGAACCCUUAAUGGAACUAUUUUCCCUCGAAGAUGUUUCUUACGUUAAAUAGUAAUAUAACAUAACUCCCCGAAGAAAUUUUGUCUGUUUGAGCAAUAUGACCGGAUUGCCUGUUUUCCGGACAUAAUGAAUGUUUAUUACAUUCCAACAUGGUCUCCGGAAACACUCCAACUUCUUGGUUCGGAGGUUAAAGCCGAAGGCCUGCAAUGACAAAUUUUGACAAGUUCGGUUGGAGAUAAGUUUGAUGAUAAAGUACAUUGAUACAUUGAAUCGAACGCCUACUCUUUAUCUAUGUCAUCUAUAAGACUGUUUAAGCUACAGUCUUCUUGCAAAUAUUUCGCAGCUAUCAUCACUUGGUCAUAUACCAAGUUCACGGGAAUCUUUUUUCCGUCCGGUCCCUGAGGUCCAACUUGGGCCAUACGAUUCGGAUCGAGCCCGGUGUAGCGCGUUUUCAUCAUCGCCCAUGCCUCUCGUGCACCUUCCCGGCAUGCUGACGCCUUCCAUAGCUCCAAACGGCGCCGGGCACCUUUCAACAGGUUCGCCAACCCCUCCAUGCUUUCUGGAGGGACAUCGGAUGGCCAUAAGGCUUUGGCCAUACUUCUCAUGGCUUUCCGGGCCCGCUCAUGCACUACGGACAGCUCUUUUAGAACGUCGCCUCGGAAUCGGGAUACUUCUUCUUCAUGAUGCCCGGUUAACAGACCUGCAAGAACAGCAUUAUAACACUCUGAAUUACAGGAUAAUAUUAGUCCCUUGGAUGGUUCAAAUGUCAUACCGAAUAUGCCGCCUUUCAACUUUUUAUUCUCUAUUUGUGCAUCUGAUAAUUGAGCCUUUAAGCUCUUUAUCUCUUCGGCUUGCUUAUCCUUUUCCUCCUCCAGUUUGUUCUUUUGAUCAAUGGUCAUCGUGACCUUCUUCAUUUCCUCUAGCUCUGUGGUGGCGGCAUUUAGCUUUGUCCAGCUCGUUUCAAGCUCCUGGGACAGUGUGUUGUUCUUCUCUUUGAGAACCUGCGGUCAUAACGAUCCUUAAAUCGGUUGGUCUAAACCGCUUCAAGUCUCGGGGGCUACUGGCAUAUAUCUAUUAAAUUUACACAAAACAUUACAUGCAUAUGUUUUGAAAACAGGUGAGCAACUCCAGCAAGUCUGUCCCGGGCAGCUCGGAUAUAUGCAUCCACGGUGCUAAGGGCAGUAAAUUCCUGCUCGGUAAAAACUGGAGCACGCAUGGUCUCUUUCACUCGUGGGUGGUUCAUCACGCUCUCCACUUCGGAAUUUGUGACGGAUAUGUCAUCCGAGUCCUCAUGAGGUGGAUGAGUUGGUGCUGCAUCCGUAUUGGCUCUUGUCUUGGUUGAUGAGCCCGGUGCCAGAUUAGCUGAUGAUCGGCUAGCUGGGACUUUAGACACGGUUCACCGUGUGCUCCUUCGGAAAUAAGAUGGGAAGAGAAGUAUGACAAUCUGGUCUUAUGCCUAGGCACAUGUUAAAAUUUAUAGCUCUUUGAUGAAGGAUGGGGCUCGACAGCGCUCCCGGUUUCCUUCCGUUUUCAAGGCUCACCCUGCAUAGAUGCUACCUUCCUAGAGGCCGCCCUCGAUGGAGUGUAGCUCGCUGAGCACCGAUCCUAUGAAGCACGAUUCAUUGUCAUGGGUGAGACACAAGUGGGUGGCUCCUUUUUUGUGGCUCCUUUUUUGAGGAUGAUUUCCGAGUACUUACCUUGGAGAAAGGGAAAAGGCCAGGGUAGUCGGCCGUAAUAGCCACUUCCGAGCCAUCAAGCCUUGCUUGAUAAAAGACUCCAUCAUCAAACUCUAUAAAUAUAUCCGGAUCCUCGCGAAAUCCGGGGUCCUCGUUGCGAGCAUAGUCCUCUGGCUGUGGGGAGGGGCAAUGAAUAUUUUCGACCACCUUCCACCAUGUCUGUUUCAAGACGACAAGAAAAAUUUGAUUAGCACACCUCAAUAAUGAGGUAGGACAAUGCUGAUAAACAAAAACUUACCCAUUCAAUGGGGUUAUACAUGGAGAAACCUUCCCGACAAUUUAAACGGAUGAAUUCUUCGUUCUCCCCCUUAUAAAGAUCUGCAAGAAUGGCCGCCAGAGCGGCUGGGGUAUCCGGGCCCUCAUGCUUAUAACGAGAUGCGUCGUCCUUUCCAUUGUAACACCAUAAAGGGGUCACUCUAGACUGAAGGGGCUGGAUGCAUCGCUUUAUCGCUAUGGCCAUGACUACGAUUAUCAAGAGUUUGGAAUGGGAGAGUAACCUGACCUUGCUAACUAAACUAUUUACUUCCACACUGUCUUCUUGCUUGGGGCUCCGGGGGCGCCAAUUGAAGUGUUUCUUCAAAGGAGAACUGAAGAAUUCGGGAAGUCCACGUCGAACUGGGUCCGGAAGGGGAACGUCCUCAACAUAAAACCAUUCCGAAGUCCAUUCUUCUGAUCCCUUCUUGGGAGUUCCGACGAGGUAACCUGAUCCGGCUAUGCACCAUACUUUGGCGCCGCCCACUUCAAAUAUAGAACCCCCUUGAUGACAAGGGAUGAGGCAAAAGAACUUUCUCCACAAUUUAAAAGGAGCCUCCCAGCCUAAAACUGUUCGCAGAGAGCACAAAACCUGAUACGUGCAGAAUAGAACCUGGUGUGAGGUUGUGUAGUUGGAUCCCGUAGAAUUCCAAUAGACCUCUGAGGAAUGGGUGGAUCGUGAAUCCUAAGACCCUCAGAAUAAACGAGACGAAGCACACCCUCUCCUCCUUGUUGGGGUUGGGGAAAUUCUAUGCUAGCACAUCAUUGCCAAUCGAGGCCAAUCCUGCCUGCAUGGAGAGUAGAUCUGUGGGAGGGAGAUAUCCUUGCGUUUGAAGUCGAUUUAGUUGGAGGGGAGACACUGAGCAGCUUCGCCAAUCACCCGCUUGAGGGCCAUGAGGGCGCGAGGAAGAGCUAGGAGCGCUCGCCAUGUUUUGAAGUUUUUUCCUGGUUUGCUCUGAUGCUCCUUGCGCAAUAUGGGAUGGCAUUUGGGGAUCUAACCCCCUUAUAUAGAUGCCGCCCUUGCAUGGUAAGGGGCUUAUUUGUAAAAAAUUAUGGACUGUUCGCAUUUGCCCGGCGCGUGGAAAUCGAGGCGACGACAGGAAGGAAUGUAAAGGCAGAACAUGAAGUUCAAAGCCGGACUGUCGUCAAUCCGGAGUAUGGUGAGGAACCUGCCUUGCAAAGCUGGAUACUACCUCGCCAUUGAAGGCAAGUUCGGGGGCUACUGAGGGAGUCCUGGAUUCGGGGGUCCUCAGGUGUCCGGCCUAUUCGAUAUGGGCCGGGCUGAUGGGUCGUGAAGACAAAGCAGAAGACCGCCUCCCAUGUCCGGGUAGGACUCCUAUGUGCGUAGAACGGCAAGUUUGGUGUCUGGGUGUAAUUCUCUUUGCCUCUGAAGUGACUUUGUAUAACCCUAGGUCUCUCUGGUGUGUAUAUAAACCGGAGGGGUUAGUCCACAGAGGGCAUCAGAAUAAUCAUAGGCUAGACAGCUAGGGUUUGGCCAUUACGAUCUCGAGGUAGAUCAACUCUUGUAACCCCUAUACUCAUCGAAUACAAUCAAGAAGGACGUAGGGUUUUACCUCCUUCGAGGGGGCCCGAACCUGGGUGAACACCGUGUCCCCUUGUCCCUUGUUACCAUUGAUCCUUAGACUCACAGCUUGGGCCCCCCUACCCGAGAUCUGCCGGUUUUGACACUGACAAGUAUCCCUAGCCCACCAGGGUUCAAGUCAUGAUACUCGCAUUUGUCAUGGAUUUAUUUCAGGAUUCCCGGUGAUCUACGGGUCAUUCCGUGCUCGACCCUGCACAGACCGCACAUGCUCGUCAGACAGUACAACACCAUAGGAUCCACAUCGUGGUUUCCCAGCAUUCCAAUUCUACGGUCUCGUCGAUUUUUUCUACUUUAUGUGGGAUCAAGAAAUAGCAUGUACAGGGGCCUUCGCACCCAACACACACAGUAGUAUAGCAUGUUCUUUCACAUGUUUUACCAUUAGUCGUUUGGUUCGAUCGAUCACAAGCCCCUGCUGCUGAACAGCAAAGCGACUAAACAUGCAACAAAUCACCAAACUCCAAUUUAUUAUUAUACACCAAAGGCGCACACAAGUUCAACCGAAGAACGAUACUAAAAACUCAGUCGGCUGAUAGGUGGAUCAUCAAAGGAGAAUCAAUGCAUCCAGAAGUAAGGCCAACAUAGGAGAGGUGCACCACGCGAGAGACAUAGCCAGUCGAGGAAAUUCAGCCAGUGAUCCUCAGAAGAACCCCCGGACAACGCCACCCCCACGCUGCAUGGUAGGCUUCACAUGCCACCUAGUCCAUGACUUUUGCUCCUAGCGGACACACCCUUUGAUUUCCCUCCUUUUAUCUGCAAAAUUGCCCAAUUUGUUAGCCACUCACAUAUCAACCUGAUAAGCAUAAUUAGAACAUUUAUUAGCUUUUUUUUCAAAAACAACAACUGUUUCUGCAUCUCCAAAUUGUCCAAAAGUUAGCAGCCACACCAACUAACACCCUUUUUUGGUUACAUCAUGUUGAUUUUUUUAAUAGAGACACUAAAGCACAGAAUCAGAUUAGUAGGAUUGAUCUCAAAUUUAAAGUAUAUUUAAGAAAACCCCACACUAGUCUAUUGCUCUCAUCUUGACCACAAAACACACAAUUUUUGGGAUCUAUCCAGCCACUCUUCAAUAAAUGGUCUCUAGGUAAUACGCUAUUUUUGACCAUCAACCAAAGAAAGACUUUGAUUUUUGGUGGAAUUUUAUUUUUUUCUUAAAACAAUUGUGACAAACCACAAUAUUGAACAACAAGGUGUCUAUAAAGUGUUUUGACUGUAAAAAGACCAUAUGCAGUUAACAUACACUUAAUAGAAUCCUUGUUGUGAGACAUCACAUUCCAUCACAUCUCAUUUUGAGGCUAUCCCAAAGAGCUAGAGUAUCACCUCACAAAGUUCUUCUAAAUCUAAAACCCUCCCAACCUCUCUACAAGGCAUCAGUUGUAGUAAUAUUCUAAUCAGAACUCAAAUUAUACAGUAUAGCAUCAGAGAUUUUAAGGGGUUUAUAAUCCACCAACAGUAUUCCCAAAAAUCCAGCAUUCUUGCCAUUACCACUUUUUUACAAUAUUGGUAGAAUGUGUAUUUAAUUUUCAUGAUACUGGACCAGAAAUGGGAGUCCCCAGUCUUAGGUUUAGUUCCAAAAAGGCAACCAUUCCGAAGAUGCUUGUUCAGGAGAAUCAUGUGCCAAAUACCAUUUUUAUUUUCUACCAUAACUAUUUAGCAGACAAGUUUUGUUCAUGAGUUCAAGAUUUAAAAUCCCUAAACCCCCUUAAUCUUUAGGUCUAAAUCAAGUGUUCCACUUUACUAAGUGUUAUUUUUUUUCUUAUUGUCAUCUGCCUACCAAACAAAUCUAGCCAUGAAAAAAUUGGCUCUUUUCUUCACAUCAACUGGGAUGGGGUAGAAAAACAUCAUACAUAAGUUGAAUAUCCCCCUCUAUUGUUAAAUCUUCUCUCAUAGUGAUAGUUAUCAAAUCUCUCCCCUUUUGUUGAAACUACCUUGCACGCCUGCACCACCAUAAGACCUAGCCAUCCCUUCUUGCUCACCAGAUGGCGGCGUAGCAGUCAAGCCUUACCACACAUCGAUUGCUUGCCCACCAAAUUCUCUUAGGGGGCGGACCAAAGCAUCUAAAUACCCAAAGGUAGCACAAGGCGCAUUCUCCUUAAGUGCUUUCCUAUUCCACUAACCUGGACCUCCUAUACCAAAAACAUCUAGUCCAACCGCCCAGGGCCAACUACAGAAGGUUCUAUGGGUAAAGGCCAAAACCCUAAAACUCACCCCCUCCUUGCUCAAUAUUUAUCAUCACAACAUCAAUGUAAUCUAAGAAAUCCACCCCAAAAACAAGCAUAUCCUUUGUAAAAUUGGCAAGGGUAGCUGGAAAAUUACCAAUUCUCAUAGCCUUUUUGACUAGAUUUCCACCAACAUCGAAAUUCCAUUUAAAAACUAUAUCAUCACAAAUUUUGAUAUUGUGGGUAUCAACAUCAGAAAGAUCCAAGGACAAACCAUCCUCAUAACAGUAUUACGAUCAAAAUCAAUGACAUGAUCAACUUCCAUCGGAAAAUCCACCGAAGACUUUUCGAGCAUGCAACUAAGAUAUCCUAACACUAUUUCUCGCAACUACAAUCCUCCCAACUGUUAGUUUGUACAUGAGGAUGUAAAUAUUUGUAGAGAUCAGCAAUCUUACUUGAAAAUGAAGCAGCAAAACGAUUGUAGGAGUCGUCGACUCCUCCCCGGCAGCAGCCAUAAUUGACUGCCUGCCAGGAAGACGCCUA